RNAcentral lists this long non-coding RNA (45620 nucleotides) under Triticum aestivum (bread wheat). Its description in RNAcentral is "long non-coding RNA (TAES_LNC008820)". Lineage: Eukaryota; Viridiplantae; Streptophyta; Magnoliopsida; Poales; Poaceae. The record is from RNAcentral.
CGGACUACUAUAAAUAGGCAUGAAGUAUAAAGAUCAUCACAAGCACAAGCAUCAAAACCAAGCAAAACUAGUUAGCACCAAUCCAUCAUGAAGACCUUCCUCGUCUUUGCCCUCCUCGCCGUUGUGGCAACAAGUGCCAUUGCGCAGAUGGAUACUAGCUACAUCCCUGGUUUGGAGAGACCAUGGCAGCAGCAACCAUUACCACCACAACAGACAUUUCCACAACAACCACCAUUUUCACAAUAACAACAACAACAACAACAACAACCAUUUCCUCAACAACCAUCAUUUUCACAGCAACAACCACCAUUUUCACAGCAACAACCAAUUCUACCACAGGGACCACCAUUUUCACAGCAAACACAACCUGUUCUACCGCAACAAUCACCAUUUUCACAGCAACAACAACUAAUUUUACCUCCACAACAACAACAACAGCUUCCGCAACAACAAAUCUCUAUUGUUCAACCAUCCGUUUUGCAGCAGCUAAACCCAUGCAAGGUAUUCCUCCAGCAGCAGUGCAGCCCUGUGGCAAUGCCACAACGUCUUGCUAGGUCGCAAAUGUGGCAGCAGAGCCGUUGCCAUGUGAUGCAGCAACAAUGUUGCCAGCAGUUGUCGCAAAUCCCCGAACAAUCCCGCUAUGAUGCAAUCCGUGCCAUCACCUACUCCAUCAUCCUACAAGAACAACAACAGGGUUUUGUCCAAGCUCAGCAGCAACAACCCCAACAGUCAGGUCAAGGUGUCUCCCAAUCCCAACAGCAGUCGCAGCAGCAGCUCGGACAAUGUUCUUUCCAACAACCUCAACAGCAACUGGGUCAACAGCCUCAACAACAACAGGUACAACAGGGUACCUUUUUGCAGCCACACCAGAUAGCUCACCUUGAGGUGAUGACUUCCAUUGCGCUCCGUACCCUGCCAACGAUGUGCAGUGUCAAUGUGCCAUUGUACAGCUCCACCACUAGUGUGCCAUUCGGAGUUGGCACCGGAGUUGGUGCCUACUGAUAAGAAAAGAUGUCUAGUAAUAUAUAGUUGGAACACCGUCAUCUAGUUGAUGGACAUGUCGAGGAAGUGGUGACAAAUAAAGUGUCACACAACAUCAUGUGUGACCCGCCCAAAGUAGUAGUUAAAUUCUGGAAUAAAUACAAAUAAAGUGUUCUCUAGACAAUGUUCAUACCGGCGUUGUGUGGACGACGAUCUGACUACCAUGCUUGCAAGUUCAUAAGUUCGUCUUGCCUGGUCACAAUCUCAACCCUGUGUAUUAAUUAAUUAUUCACAUAUAGCAAUAAUCUAGAUUUAAAUAUAAUAGUGUUAUUGUAAAAUUUGGGUUGAACUGAAGCAAGGACAAACAUACAACUCUUUAAUGGUUGGAGAUUUGAGAUCUUGUUUUUCAUUGGUUUGUAUGUGGUUCCAACUACUACCAUUGUCUACAUGACAAUCACAACCGGUUUCAUCAUUACUUCUGUUUGCUUGUUUUUUUUUUGCAAAUACAUCAUUGAUUCUUUGCACAUUAACUUAUUUUUCAAGGAAAAAAACAGCUUUUUCUUGAAUUUCACAGACACCACUAUAUAGUUAAUUUGAAAUAAGUUGCUGUUCAAGCCCUAGACCAGCUAGCACAGUCUGUUUUUGUGGGGAAUGGGAGGGCGUUGUUGCAUGUGUAUUAUUUGCGCAUUAUUUUAUUUUGUUCUUUUGAUGAUCUUAUGCAAUACCACAUUUUACUUGAUGUAAAGCAAAAUAAGCAAUGCAUGUAGAAACCAUAAAACUUGAGACUGGGUGUGUGUCAACUUCACAUCCUCCUCCUUCCGUCAUUUUAAUUGGAAAGCAAUAGCCCUCAUGAGAUCAGACAGCCAUACACAGUGCCAAAAUAAACAAGGUGGUGACAUUAACGAUGCAGCUUUCAAAUUAGUCAAAUGGCUAAACUGAGGCACUGGCAGACAUAUGAGACAUCCACGAGAAUGUAAUCCAGAAUAUUGCAAGUAGAGCACUAUAUUAUGUAUUCAGGACAUCCAAUGCAGUUUUUCAAUGUGACGUUUUAUUGGCUAUGAGCCUAUGACCUUAGCAAAUGAUACAAAUUUUCUUUCCAAAUACUACAAAAUGUUGCAGGACUGCAAAUUAAACAAUUACCUCCACUGACUAGACGUGAAACAACACACCUGUUGUGCAACAACAAAAUAUAAUUCAUCUCAAGCACCUACCCUGCAGGGAUUAGUUCUCGUGAAUUCAUUGAAUCUAGAAUGCAUCGCAUGCUUACUUCUGAAGAGAGUAGACACGGAAGCAAGUGGUCACUUUCUUGUCCUUUUUAAUGGCACCUAUAAUUAAGAUUGAGUACAUGAUCGAACUCAGAAGUGAUCAUAAUCUGCUGGUAGAUUAUUAUUUCUUGUUCAUAUGAACAUAAUACUUAAUAUACUGACAUGAUAAAAGGCAACUUGACAAUCUCCUGUCAUUCAACAAUGAAAGAUAUGUAUGAGUAUGCAAUCCAGUUUGGUGAGCUUAAUAUGUGCCAUUAUUGAAGGAAAUAUGCACUAGAGGCAAUAAUAAAGUUGUUAUUUAUAUUUCCUUAUAUCAUGAUAAAUGUUUAUUAUUCAUGCAAGAAUUGUAUUAAUCGGAAACUUAGUACAUGUGUAAAUACAUAGACAAACAAAGUGUCACUAGUAUGCCUCUACCUGACUAGCUCGUUGAAUCAAAGAUGGUUAAGUUUCCUAGCCAUAGACAUGAGUUAUCAUUCGAUUAACAGGAUCACAUCAUUAGAGAAUGAUGUGAUUGACUUGACCCAUUCCGUCAGCUUAGCAUUUGAUCAUUUAGUAUAUUGUUAUUGCUUUCUUCAUGACUUAUACAUGUUCCUAUGACUACACUAGUAGAAAAAGGGCCUAUUGUCCCGGUUUGUAAGGGCCUUUUGUCCCGGUUCCUGAACCGGGACUAAAGGGUCGGUACUAAUGCCAUGUCCCUUUAGUCUAGGUUCAAUCCAGAACCGGGACAGAUGGGCCUCCACGUGGCCUAUGCGCGUAGCCCAGGUAGGAGGGCCUUUGGUCCCGGUUGGUGGCACAAACCGGGACCAAUAGGCAUCCACGCGUCAGCAUUUAUGUGNNNNNNNNNNNNNNNNNNNNNNNNNNNNNNNNNNNNNNNNNNNNNNNNNNNNNNNNNNNNNNNNNNNNNNNNNNNNNNNNNNNNNNNNNNNNNNNNNNNNNNNNNNNNNNNNNNNNNNNNNNNNNNNNNNNNNNNNNNNNNNNNNNNNNNNNNNNNNNNNNNNNNNNNNNNNNNNNNNNNNNNNNNNNNNNNNNNNNNNNNNNNNNNNNNNNNNNNNNNNNNNNNNNNNNNNNNNNNNNNNNNNNNNNNNNNNNNNNNNNNNNNNNNNNNNNNNNNNNNNNNNNNNNNNNNNNNNNNNNNNNNNNNNNNNNAGCAUUUAUGUGGCUAGGGUGUUUUUUGAAAGGAGGGGGGGGGGGGUUUGGGGGUUUUGGGGGGUUAAUUUAGGUGUUUCAUAUAUUGUGUUAGCUAGCUAUAAUUAAUAGAGAGAAGUGUCCUCUCUUAUGUCCGUGCUUGGUCGAUGCUACGUACUAUACAUACGUAUAGAGAGGACUAGACACGCUAGCUAGCUAGUAAGAAAACGAAGAAAACAGAAGAUCGUCAUGAACAUAUAUAUGCAUACAGAGAGAAGUGAUAUCGACCACCUCUCCUUCUCUGAGAGAUUGGUCGAACAACAAGUUCUCGUAUAUCUAUCCGACACUACCGGCUACAUAUAUACAAUAAUUAUCUCUUACAAAUAUAAUCUCCUAACAUACGGACGCAUGGUCCACAUAGAAUUCUCCGUCUUCAGCAAUCAUGUGGUCAAGAAAGAAUGCCGCCAAUUCCUCUUGAAUUGCUCGCAUGCGAGCUGGUGCUAGGAGUUCAUCCCGCUUCCAAAACAUCUAAUUUGAAGAAGGGGGGGUCAAUACACACAUAUAUAUAUAUGAAUGAAUGAAACUCAACACAAAUGAUGGUAAUAAAAUAAAAUCAUGAAUGUUGUUAUUUACGCACUUCAUAUUGUUCGUCAGAGUAGCCCCGCUCACAGGUCGUGUGGCGGAUGGACUCGCAAACGUAGUAUCCACAAAAAUCAUUCCCUUGUUCCUGCCACAACCACUUUACAAGAAAUAGAGGUCAAUCAAACUGAUAAGAAAGAAUGCCAAAUGGUAUUGAUGAAACUAGCGCUUGAAUCACUAGGAGAUGCGCGGAACAUGCUACUAUAGUACUUACUUUCGGGUGUCUAAAUUGCAGCUUCUUCGGGAGUCCCGAAGCUUUUUUGGUGAAUUUUUUCCAAACCCUGCCAAACAAUGAAAACAAUUACUUGAUAUAUCAGGAAAUGAACAAAGUUGCUGAUAUGGUGGAUAAUGAUCGAUUUAACUUACUUCUCGAGCAUUUGAGUCAUGUCCGCAUAGUCCUGGGGAUCUUUUCGUCUUGAGUCUAAGACGGUUACUAGUCCCUGCUCAAGCUUAAUCUUUAGGAGUAUAUAGUGGAAACUGCACACACAUGCAUAACUCAUCAAUUACAUUACUAUAACCUUGACUAAUAUAUAAGGGAAACCGAAUAUGCACAAGACAGUAACACUCACUUGAAGUUGUAAGGAAAGAGUAUUAUAUCUUUGUUUUCAUUUAUUACCAACGAUCGUAGCAAGUUGGCCUCGAUAUCUGUGGCAUGAAAUUUAACCUGAGUUGCAUCUAUGAGAUUUGUGUUAAUGAACCCAAUAUCACCGAUUUGUCUUUUCUUCAAUUCGGCGAUCUUCAAUCUGCAUAAUAUAGUGAGGAUAAUUAUAAAUACAUGCAAUGAAAGAGCUGAGCUAUAUAGAGAGACUUAAUGACAGAAGUAGUACUACUUACAGACAGUAGCAGGUGACCGUUGCUUUAUCGAGGGCCAAUUGAUUGAAAAACUGAAAGAACUCCUCAAAUGGAACAGGCAACGGUUCAAUUCCAACAAGGUCAUGCUCCUUUUUAACUCUCACAUACAAAGUACUCCUCCCCCCCAGACUCUCUGCAGAUUUUCAAGUACCAAUCAUGCAAACUUCACAUCAUCGUUGAUAGGGAUCUUUCAUCUUUGACGAGAGGCUUCCCGUACUCGUAUCUUUGUAUCUGCACCUCCAUGAAAUCAUAAUGUACAUCGUCGGGCAGGUAAUCUCCAAGAUUGCUAUAACCGGGCACCAUCCUCGGAUCAUUAGCGACGAUGUCGCUAGGCACCUUGAGCGGGGGGCACAAUUGCUUCGCUUGUUCGCCGAGCUGGGCAAUUUGUUUCCCAGCUCGUCGUUCUUUCAGCCUUUGAUCACUAACAGUACUUCCUGACCGCUCCGCUUCGGCAAAUUCUUUUCCAAUAAUGCGCUCAUAGUUGCCUUUCGGCGGAGACUUGGGUGGUUUUAUCAGGGCAGCCAGAGUGCGCUUCGCUUUCACCGGAUCUACCUUCUCCUCCGGAGGUGGAUGUUUCUUUGCUUUCACCCCUUCAAAGUAGUUCCUCGCUUCUUCUCGCACGAUCUCGGUGUUCUCCUCCGGGGUCCUCUCGUAUGGUAACUUCUCUGGAGUCUUCAGAGAAGGACCGAAUCUGUAUGUCCUCCCGCCUCUGGCUGUACUGCUAGACGCCGACAGAGCAGACGAAGCGACUGUCUUCUUUACUUGCUUACGAGGCGGAGGAGAAGGACUACGACGCGCCGGAGAAGCCGGAGCGGCGGCGGGUCUCUUCCGCCCUUGCUGACGAGGUGGAGAAGGAGGAGGCUGGCUACUCGGGCGCGCCGGCGCAGGUGGAGAAGGAGGCGGAGUGCCGCCACGCGCCGGAGAAGGAGCAGGCCGAGUGCCUUGAUCGUCACUCGCCGGAGGAGGAGGCGGUGGAGGAGGCGGAGUGCCCUGACUUGCCGGAGGAGGAGGAGGAGGCGGAGGCGUCCAGUUCGGAAGGUUGAUGAGCUCCUUCCGCCAUAGGCAUGGAGUCUUCAGAGCAGAACCCAGCCGAGUCUCCCCUUCACUGGUAGGGUGGUCAAGCUGGAGGUCCUCAAAUCCCUCCAUUAUUUCAUCGACCAUUACCCUAGCAUAUCCUUCUGGAAUCGCCCGGCAGUGAAAAGUUGCACCGGGUUCAGUAGGAAAAAUAGAGCCAACAGCCGCCUUGACCUUCAUAUUAAUCCAUUGCGUCAUAAGGUGGAAAUUUUGAGACUCCGGGAUAGCAUCCAUGGGAUAGCUGGCAGGAGCCAUCAAGACAUGCUCCGGCUGAAGCAGCUCGGUGGAAGCCACACUGCUUCUCCGCUGAGAUGGCGGGGUAGCUUCGGGGGAAGCUUCGGCAGUUCGUUUGCUGCGAUUUGCUUCUUGUUCCUCUAUCGCUUGUACCCUAGCGUGCAGCGCCUGCAGUUGGGUCUGCUCCACUUUCUUCCUCCUCUCGUGGCAUUUGUAACCGCCUACGUCCGGAAACCCAGUCUUCCAUGGAAUGGAGCCUGGCGUGCCUCGUGUCCGUCCAGGGUGCUCAGGAUUCCCGAGGGCCAUUGUGAGCUCGCCGUUCUCUCUGUCUGGAACGAACGUCCCUUGCUGCGCUGCUUCGAUAUACUGCUGAAGCUUCUUGACUGGUAUUUCCAUUUGAUCGUCCGUCCAAAUGCACUUCCCUGAUACAGGGUCCAAGGAUCCGCCAACCCCGAAGAACCAAGUCCGGCAAUGGUCUGGCCAAUUAAUUGUCUCUGGUUCGAUCCCUUUAUCAACCAGAUCAUUCUCAAUCUUGGCCCACGUAGGCCGGGCUACGAGGUAGCCACCUGACCCCGUGCGAUGGUGAUGCUUCUUCUUCGCAGCAUUUUGCUUGUUUGUCGUCGACAUCUUCUUACUCUUUUCCGAUGUCUUGUGGGCCACAAAUGCGGGCCAGUGAUCUCUGAUCUUCUCAUAUCUGCCCUUGAAUUCUGGUGUCUCUUUUUUAUCGACAAACUUAUUCAGCUCUUUCUUCCACCUCCUGAAUAGUUCUGCCAUCCUCUUAAGAGCAAAAGACUUGAUUAAUUGCUCUUUAACUGGCUUCUCCGGAUCAUCCUCUGGCAGUAGGGUGAAAUUUGACUUCAGCUCAGUCCAAAGAUCAUUUUUCUGCAUAGCAUUGACAUAAAACACCUCAGGGUCUUCUGUAGCCGGCUCUAACCAUUGCUGGAUGCUGAUCAGGAUCUUGUCCCUAACGAGAACCCCGCACCGAGCAACACAUGCGCUCUUUGUCCGGAGGGGUUCAAUCGGUUGGCCGUCGGGCGCGAUUGCUAUGAUCUCAAACUUUUCAUCCGAGCUCAACUUUUUUUCGGGCCUCGUCUCUUUACCGAAGUUGUGCUCGAUCCGGAGGGCUAGAAAAAAUAACAAAGACUUAAUUAAUAUGUGUACAUACCAAAACAAUGAAUGCAUCAAUUAGCUAGUCAGCACAGGCUUAACUAAUAUAUAUACCUGUCCGGACUCGGUUCGGUCAUCGGAGACGUCAUCACGGUCUCCUUCUUGCACCGGCAUUGGGUCACCGGAGCCGUCCUCACGGUCUCCUUCUUGCACCGGCAUUAGGUCACCGGAGCCAUCAUAAUCAUAGCCAGCUGCUUCCAGACCAUCGGUGUCGUUGAGAAACAACGAGCAGACGCCAUCACUUCCUCGUGCGAUUAUGUCCCCCAACAACUCUUCUUGUACUUCGUCUCGGGCGGUGUCCAUAGUUUCUACAAAUAUUGACAACAUGGCAAUUAUUAUUCAAACAUGACAGAUGGAUAUAUUAGUGGCAAACGUAGAACUAAUAUUAAUUAGUGGCCUCGAUGCUGCUUAGCCUUGGUACGAUUUCUGGAUCGAUCACCUUCUGAGAGAUUGCAUUGAGGAAUGCACAUAGCUUCACAAUGGCUAAUCGGAAGUUUUCUGGUAGAAGCCCCCUCAAUGCAACCGGAAGCAGUUGCGUCAUAAUCACGUGGCAGUCAUGAGACUUUAGGUUCUGAAACUUUUUCUCUGGCAUAUUUAUUAUUCCCUUUAUAUUCGACGAGAAGCCAGUCGUGCCUUCAUACUGAGCAGACAUUCAAAGAAGAUUUCUUUCUCUUCUUUCGUAAGAGCGUAGCUGGCAGGACCUUUAUACUGCUACGGAGGAAUGCCGUCUUUUUCGUGCAAACGUUGCAGGUCCUCCCGUGCCUCAGGUGUAUCUUUUGUCUUCCCAUACACGCCCAAGAAGCCUAGUAGGUUCACGCAAAGGUUCUUUGUCACGUGCAUCACGUCGAUUGAAGAGCGGACCUCUAGGUCUUUCCAGUAGGGUAGGUCCCAAAAUAUAGAUUUCUUCUUCCACAUGGGUGCGUGUCCCUCAGCGUCAUUCGGAACAGCUAGUCCGCCGGGACCCUUUCCAAAGAUUACGUGUAAAUCAUUGACCAUAGCAAGUACGUGAUCACCGGUACGCAUGGCCGGCUUCUUCCGGUGAUCUGCCUCGCCUUUGAAAUGCUUGCCUUUCUUUCGACAUUGAUGGUUGGUCGGAAGAAAUCGACGAUGGCCCAGGUACACAUUCUUCCUGCAUUUGUCCAGGUAUAUACUUUCAGUGUCAUCUAAAUAGUGCGUGCAUGCGUGGUAUCCUUUGUUUGUCUGUCCUGAAAGGUUACUGAGAGCGGGCCAAUCGUUGAUGGUCACGAACAGCAACGCCUUUAGGUUAAAUUCCUCAUGUCUGUGCUCAUCCCACGUACGUACACCAUUUCCAUUCCACAACUGUAAAAGUUCUUCAACUAAUUGCCUUAGGUAUACAUCAAUGUCGUUGUCGGGUUGCUUAGGGCCUUGGAUGAGAACUGGCAUCAUAAUGAACUUCCGCUUCAUGCACAUCCAAGGAGGAAGGUUAUACAUACAUAGAGUCAUGGGCCAGGUGCUGUGAUUGCUGCUCUGCUCCGCGAAAGGAUUAAUGCCAUCCGCGCUUAAAGCAGACCAUACGUUCCUUGGGUCCUUUGCAAACUCAUCCCAGUACUUUCUCUCGAUUUUUCUCCACUGCGACCCAUCAGCGGGUGCUCUCAACUUCCCAUAUUUCUUUCGGUCCUCACUAUGUCAUCGCAUCAACUUGGCAUGCUCUUCGUUUCUGAACAGACGUUUAAACCGUGGUAUUAUAGGAGCAUACCACAUCACCUUCGCAGGAACCCUCUUCCUGGGGGGUCGUCAUCAACAUCACCAGUGUCAUCUCGUCUGAUCUUAUACCGCAAUGCACCGCAUACCGGGCAUGCGUUCAGAUCCUUGUAUGCAUCGCGGUAGAGGAUGCAGUCAUUAGGGCAUGCAUGUAUCUUCUCCACCUCCAAUCCUAGAGGGCAUACGACCUUCUUUGCUGCGUAUGUACUGUCGGGCAAUUCAUUAUCCUUUGGAAGCUUCUUCUUCAAUAUUUUCAGUAGCUUCUCAAAUCCUUUGUCAACCACAACAUUCUCUUCCUUCCACUACAGCAAUUCCAGUACGGUACCGAGCUUUGUGUUGCCAUCUUCGCAAUUGGGGUAGAACCCUUUUUUGUGAUCCUCUAACAUGCGAUCGAACUUCAGCUUCUCCUUUUGACUUUCGCAUUGCGUCCUUGCAUCGACAAUGACCCGACGGAGAUCAUCAUCAUCGGGCAUAUCGUCUGGUUCCUCUUGAUCUUCAGCAGCUUCACCCGUUGCAGCAUCAUUGGGCACGCCGUCUGAUUCCUCUUGAUCUUCACCAGCUCCCCCCGUUGCAGCAUCACCGUACUCAGGGGGCACAUAGUUGUCAUAGUACUCUUCUUCUUCGCCGUCCUCCAUCAUAACCCCUAUUUCUCCGUGCCUCGUCCAAACAUUAUAGUGUGGCAUGAAACCCUUGUAAAGCAGGUGGGAGUGAAGGAUUUUCCGGUUAGAGUAAGACCUCAUAUUCCCACAUUCAGUGCAUGGACAACACAUAAAACCAUUCUGCUUGUUUGCCUCAGCUGCAUUGAGAAACUCAUGCACGCCCUUAAUGUACUCGGAGGUGUGUCUGUCACCGUACAUUCAUUGCCGGUUCAUCUGCGUGCGUUAUAUAUAAUUAAGUGUCCAAAUUAAUAGAAGUUCAUCAUCACAUUAAAACCAAAGUACAUACAUAGUUCUCAUCUAACAACAUAUAGCUCUCCAGAGCAUCUAAUUAAUUAAACCAUACAUUGAAACUAUGUAAAACAUUUCAAUGCGAAAACAAAUACGACCAUAAUCGCAACCAAGGUAACAAUUGAUCCAAUGGCAUAAUGAUACCAAGCCUCGGUAUGAAUGGAAUAUUUUCUAAUCUUUCUAAUGUUCAAGCGCAUUGCAUCCAUCUUGAUCUUGUGAUCAUCGACGACAUCCGCAACAUGCAACUCCAAUAUCAUCUUCUCCUCCUCAAUUUUUUUUAUUUUUUCCUUCAACAAAUUGUUUUCUUCUUCAACUAAAUUUAACCUCUCGACAAUAGGGUCGGUUGGAAUUUCUGAUUCACAUACAUCCUACAUAAAUAAAAUCUAUGUCACGUUGGUCGGCAUAAUUUUCAUAAACAAUAAAUGAACCAAUAGUUAUAAAGAUAAUAUAUAUACCACAUCCGAAUCAUAGACAGGACGAGGGCUGACGGGGCGGAUACCAAAACCAUCGCACUAUAUAAGAUGCAAUAAUAGAAGUAAGAAAAUAAUACAAGUAUCUAUGUAAACAUACAAGUAAGAAUAUUUUUUCCUUUCAGAAAGAAGAUAAGAACAAGAGGCUCACCACGGUGGUGCCGGCGAUGAGCUCGGCGCGGGUGAUCGACGACGGUGAAGACAGGGACGGGGCGUGACGGACCGCUAAACCUAGACAAAUAUUGAGAAAAAUGGAGCUUGGAGGUCGAGCUUGGAGAGGAGAAAACUUAAGUAGUGUGGCUCGGGCAUUCCAUCGAACACCUUGUGUGCAUAGGAGGUGAGCUAGAGCACCACCAAGACCUCUCCCCCUCGGCCAGAAAAAAACAGAGUAGUGUGCUCUGCUCUUACGCGAGGGGGUAUAUCUAGGCACCUCAUUGGUCCCGGUUGGUGGCAUGAACCGGGACUAAAGGGGAGCCCAUUGGCCCUGGUUCGUCCCACCAACCGGGACCAAAAGGUCCAGACGAACCAGGACCAAUGGCCCACGUGGCCCGGCCGGACCCCUGGGCUCACGGACCGGGUCCAAUGCCCCUAUUGGUCCCGGUUUUGGACUAAACCGGGACUAAUGUGCUGACCCGGCCUGGACCGUUGCCCCCUUUUCUACUAGUGCUAUGAGAUUAUGCAACUCCCGAGUACCGGAGGAACACUUUGUGUGCUACCAAACGUCACAACGUAACUGGAUGAUUAUAAAGGUGCUCUACAGGUGUCUCCAAAGGUACUUGUUGGGUUGGCAUAGAUCGAGAUUAGGAUUUGUCACUCCGAUUGUCGGAGAGGUAUAUCUGGGCCCUACAAACAAUGCAACAAAUGAGUUAGUUGCGGGAUGAUGUAUUACGGAACAAGUAAAGAGACUUGUUGGUAACGAGAUUGAACUAGGUAUUGAGAUACCGGCGAUCGAAUCUCGGGCAAGUAACAUACCGAGGACAAAGGGAACAACGUAUGUUGUUAUGCGGUUUGACCAAUAAAGAUCUUCGUAGAAUAUGUAGGAGCCAAUGUGUGUUGGGGAACGUUACAGAAAACAAAAAUUUUCCUACGGUUUCACCAAGAUCCAUCUAUGAGUUCAUCUAGCAACGAGUGAUCGGAUGCAUCUACAUACCUUUGUAGAUCGCGAGCGAAAGCGUUCAAAGAACGGGGAUGAGGGAGUCGUACUCGACGUGAUCCAAAUCACCGGAGAUCCUAGUGCCGAACGGACGGCACCUCCGCGUUCAACACACGUACGGUCAGCAUGACAUCUCCUUCUUCUUGAUCCAGCAAGGGGAAAGGAGAGGUUGAGGAAGAUGGCUCCAGCAGCAGCACGACGGCGUGGUGGUGAUGGAGCUGCAGUACUCCGGCAGGGCUUCGCCAAGCUCUAUGGAGGAGGAGGAUGUGUUGGAGAGGGAGAGGGAGGCACCAAAGGCAAAGGUGAGAGGUCCUCCAUCCCCCCCACUAUAUAUAGGGGGGCCUAGGGGGGCGCCGGCCCUAGGAGAUGCAAUCUCCUAGGGGGGUGGCGGCCAAGGGGUGGGGGGCUUGCCCCCCCAAGCAAGGGGGCGCCCCCCCUUUAGGGUUUCCCCUACCCUAGGCGCAUGGGCCCUAGGGGAAGUGGCGCCCCAGCCCACUUUGGGCUGGAUCCCUUCCCACUUCAGCCCAUGGGCCCUCCGGGAUAGGUGGCCCCACCCGGUGGACCCCUGGGACCCUUCCGGUGGUCCCGGUACAAUACCGGUGACCCCGAAACUUGUCCCGAUGACCGAAAUAGCACUUCCUAUAUAUAAUUAUUUACCUCCGGACCAUUCCGGAACUCCUUGUGAUGUCCGGGAUCUCAUCCGGGACUCCGAACAACAUUCAGGUUACUGAAUAUACAUAUCCCUACAACCCUAGCGUCACCGAACCUUAAGUGUGUAGACCCUACGGGUUCGGGAGACAUGUAGACAUGACCGAGAUUGCUCUCCGGUCAAUAACCAACAGCGGGAUCUAGAUACCCAUGUUGGCUCCCACAUGCUCCUCGAUGAUCUCAUCGGAUGAACCACGAUGUCGACGAUUCAAGCAACCCCGUAUACAAUUCCCUUUGUCAAUCGGUAUGCUACUUGCCCGAGAUUCGAUCAUCGGUAUCCCAAUACCUUGUUCAGUCUCGUUACCGGCAAGUCACUUUACUCGUACCGUAAUGCAUGAUCCCGUGACCAGACACUUGGUCACUUUGAGCUCAUAAUGAUGAUGCAUUACCGAGUGGGCCCAGUGAUACCUCUCCGUCAUAUGGAGUGACAAAUCCCAGUCUUGAUCCAUGUCAACCCAACAGACACUUUCGGAGAUACCCGUAGUAUACCUUUAUAGUCACUCAGUUACGUUGUGACGUUUGGUACACCCAAAGCACUCCUACGGUAUCCGGGAGUUACACAAUCUCAUGGUCUAAGGAAAGGAUACUUGACAUUGGAAAAAUUCUAGCAAACGAACUAUACGAUCUUAUGCUAUGUUUAGGACUGGGUCUUGUCCAUCACAUCAUUCUCCUAAUGAUGUGAUCUCGUUAUCAAUGAAAUCCAAUGUCCAUAGUCAGGAAACCAUGACUAUCUGUUGAUCAACGAGCUAGUCAACUAGAGGCUUACUAGGGACAUGUUGGUGUCUAUUAUUCACACAUGUACUACGAUUUCCGGAUAACACAAUUAUAGCAUGAAUAAAGACAAUUAUCAUGAACAAGGAAAUAUAAUAAUAGUGCUUUUAUUAUUGCCUCUAUGGCAUAUUUCCAACGGUCUCCCACUUGCACUAGAGUCAAUAAUCUAGUUACAUUGUGAUGAAUCGAACACCCAUGGAAUUCUGGUGUUGAUCAUGUUUUGCUCUAGGGAGCGAUUUAGUCAACGGAUCUGCUACAUUCAGGUCCGUAUGUACUUUACAAAUAUCUAUGUCUCCAUCUUGAACAUUUUCACGAAUGGAGUUGAAGCGACGCUUGAUGUGCCUGGUCUUCUCGUGAAACCUGGGCUCCUUGGCAAGUGCAAUAGCUCUAGUGUUUUCACAGAAGAGUUUGAUUGGCCCCGACACAUUGGGUAUGACUCCUAGGUCGGUGAUGAACUCCUUCACCCAAAUUGCUUCAUGCGCUGCCUCCGAGGCUGCCAUAUACUCCGCUUCACAUGUAGAUCCCGCCACGACGCUCUGCUUGCAACUGCACCAGCUUACUGCCCCACCAUUCAAAAUAUACACGUAUCCGGUUUGUGACUUGGAGUCAUCCAGAUCUGUGUCGAAGCUAGCGUCAACGUAACCUUUUACGACGAGCUCUUUGUCACCUCCAUAAACGAGAAACAUUUCCUUAGUCCUUUUCAGGUACUUCAGGAUAUUCUUGACCGCUGUCCAGUGUUCCUUGCCGGGAUUAUUUUGGUACCUUCCUACCAAACUUACGGCAAGGUUUACAUCAGGUCUGGUACACAACAUGGCAUACAUAAUAGAACCUAUGGCUGAGGCAUAGGGGAUGACACUCAUCUCUUCUAUAUCUUCUGCUGUGGUCGGACAUUGAGCUGAGCUCAAUUUCACACCUUGUAACACAGGCAAGAACCCCUUCUUAGACUAAUCCAUAUUGAAUUUCUUCAAUAUCUUAUCAAGGUAUGUGCUUUGUGAAAGACCUAUGAGGCGUCUUGAUCUAUCUCUAUAGAUCUUGAUGCCUAAUAUAUAUGCAGCUUCUCCAAGGUCCUUCAAUGAAAAACUCUUAUUCAAGUAGGCCUUAAUGCUGUCCAAGAGUUCUAUAUCAUUUCCCAUCAAAAGUAUGUCAUCUAUAUAUAAUAUGAGAAAUGCUACAGAGCUCCCACUCACUUUCUUGUAAACACAGGCUUCUCCAUAAGUCUGCGUAAACCCAAACGCUUUGAUCAUCUCAUCAAAGCGAAUGUUCCAACUCCGAGAUGCUUGCACCAGCCCAUAAAUCGAGCGUUGGAGCUUGCACACCUUGUCAGCAUUCUAGGAUCGACAAAACCUUCCGGCUGCAUCAUAUACAAUUCUUCCUUAAGGAAACCAUUAAGGAAUGCCGUUUUGACGUCCAUUUACCAUAUCUCAUAAUCAUAGAAUGCGGCAAUUGCUAACAUGAUUCGGACGGACUUUAGCUUCGCUACCGGUGAGAAAGUCUGAUCGUAGUCAACCCCUUGAACUUGUCGAUAACCCUUAGCGACAAGCAGAGCUUUAUAGAUGGUCACAUUACCAUCCGCGUCUGUCUUCUUCUUAAAGAUCCAUUUAUUUUCUAUGGCUCGCCGCUCAACAGGCAAGUCAGUCAAAGUCCAUACUUCGUUUUCAUACAUGGAUCCUAUCUCGGAUUUCGUGGCUUCUAGCCAUUUGUCGAAAUCCGGGCCCGCCAUCGCUUCUUCAUAGUUCGAAGGUUCACCGUUGUCUAACAACAUGAUUUCCAAGACAGGGUUGCCGUACCACUCUGGUGCGGAACGUGUCCUUGUAGACCUACGAAGUUCAGUAGCAACUUGAUCUGAAGUUUCAUGAUCAUCAUCAUUAACUUCCUCUCCAGUCGGUGCAGGCACCUCAUGAACAUUUUCUUGAGUUGCGCCAUUUUCCGGUUCAAGAGGUAAUACUUCAUCAAGUUCUACUUUCCUCCCACUUACUUCUUUUGAGAGGAACUCUUUCUCUAGAAAGGAUCCAUUCUUGGCAACAAAAAUCUUGCCUUCGGAUCUGAGGUAGAAGGUAUACCCAAUAGUUUCUUUAGGGUAUCCUAUGAAGAUGCAUUUUUCCGACUUGGGUUCGAGCUUUUCAGGUUGAAGUUUCUUGACAUAAGCAUCGCAUCCCCAAACUUUUAGAAACGACAGUUUAGGUUUCUUCCCAAACCAUAAUUCAUACGGUGUCGUCUCAACGGAUUUCGAAGGAGCCCUAUUUAAAGUGAAUGCGGCAGUCUCUAAAGCAUAGCCCCAAAAAGAUAGCGGUAAAUCGGUAAGAGACAUCAUAGAUCGCACCAUAUCUAAUAGAGUGCGAUUACGAUGUUCGGACACACCAUUACGCUGAGGUGUUCCAGGCGGCGUGAGUUGUGAAACUAUUCCACUAUCCCUCGAAGCUCUGCUGGAUCGGAGUUUGUGGGACGUCACCGAGCUAAACGUGUGCUGAACUCGGAGGUGCCGUGCGUUCGGUACUUGGAUCGGUCGGAUCGUGAAGACGUACGACUACAUCAACCGCGUUCUCAUAAUGCUUCCGCUUACGGUCUACGAGGGUACGUGGACGACACUCUCUCCUCUCGUUGCUAUGCAUCACCAUGAUCUUGCGUGUGCGUAGAAUUUUUUUUGAAAUUACUGUGUUCCCCAACAGUUAUUGUGAGAUAAUGAAAAACGGAAUAAAGGGACACAUGGAAUUCUUUUUAUCAUACUAACGAGUUUCAAAACAUAGAACGGAAGCAACAAAAAUGAAGGCAGAGCGCUAAAAUUUCAGUAACGUUUUAGAAGAUAUAAAAUGCAGUGCCCUUUUAUUGAUCACUGCCUAUAGCCAUAUAAAUGAGGUCUGGGACUCGGUUCGCUCCAAUAUGCCUAUAGAAAGCACAUUUCCUCUGAUGCACAUAUAAAAUUUGACAGUCCAAAACAGAAAAACGCUGAGAUAUACGGAUGAUAUAAUGCUGUAACUAACUUGGAUAUCCUUCCAGUGACCACAGAAUGGACAAAUUUUCUUCUCAGACGUCGAAAAGGGAUGGAACCUCCACACCCACUGCUUCUCCUCCACCUGCAUAGCGUGCGUAGGCAGAAAUUUGAUGAUUAUUUGAAGUGACAUCCACAUAGAGAAGGAUUUAUUCUGCUAGCAAAGCACAAAUGUAGAUCACUGUCAGGCUACAAGACUGAACUGCUCGAUGACCUUCUUGAUUCAUGCAGCUGAUAUGCAAAUGGGUGUGCCCCUUAAAUUCAUGUGAAUCGAAUCGCAGAAGAGACUGACAAACAGGGUUGAUACCUUAUUGCUUGUGUUGACGGGAAGACCGGAGUGGCUGCCGUCGACGUACGGCCCGCACCCGAUGAAGAUCUCGGAGACCUUCUUGCACAUAGAAUGGUAAUUAAUUAAAGAAGUAAGAGGGCCCAUUGUAACUCAUCCCUUUUUAAUAAUGAUAUAUAAAAUAUCCUUCUGCCACCGAUUUGCACCUACGUACAUCAAUUAUUUCUAAUGAUGGUAGAGGAAUCACAUACUGGAGAGGAUAAUAUGGGAGAAAGGGAUCAGAAGAACAGAGGAAGAGGGAGAGAUGAAGAACAGAGUGGUAAGUAAGAGUUCAGGUAAAUUCUCAUUUAAUCGAUACGUUACAGGGAUGGCACUUGACCCUUUUAAACACACAUGCAGUCUCUUACAAGUCGGACCCUUGAGUCCAUAUACCCAGUGCACUAGAUGAUCUUCUUACACCUCACUCAUCCAUCGUCUCUAUAUGGCUGACGGGCCUUCAUCGGCCAUAUCCCAGUCCUCCUCGUCCAGCAUGCUCCGUCGGAUUGGGAUCUGAUUGACUAGUGUGCCCAUGGUUGAGGGCACAGGCGUGACACGAACAUUGCUCCAGGGUCUCCUCAAAGAUGUCAUUUUCCACAUUGGCAUGCCUAAAAGACACAGUUAGAUUUUUGGCAACCUGUUGCUUCAAAUACGUAUUCUGGAAUCAUGUGCCUGGAGGUGUACUCGUUGUAUGGUGGUGUUCUUCCAAGAGCUACAAAGGUAGCUGUGGCUCCUAGUUCGUGUUCCAUCGGCAUACCCUCUAGAGUGGUAGUCCUACUUCAAGUGGACUGAGCAAGGUACCACAAUGCAACUGGUUUUCAGCUCUUUUCCCUUCAUCUCCUUAACUCUCACAUCUUUGUUUUCCUCCAAUAUUUUACAUGUAAAUAAGCUAAAGACGCAAGGGAAAAUAAGGUUUCAUAUCACACUCACGUUCACAUCCUAAGGCAGGGGUAUAUAUAUAUAAGACUUGUACACAUCUCUAAUCUUUGUUAGCCCUUCUUAUGAAACAAAUAUAUUGUGAGCAUGGGAUAUGUGUUGAGAAUGCCGUUCACGAAUCGUUUAUCAUGUGAGUAGACUGCAGAAUGAUAUUACCACUCUACUUGCAUGUUUAGUUUCCAAUCUCUUUACCGGGAAAUACCGAGGGAACUCACAAUUAAAGAAUGUACAGCAGUUUCUGAAUGAGUCUGUGGUUGAACGUCAAAUGCAUUUCCAAACAGGCUAAUCCUGAAUGACCCAAGUAACCAACCUUCAAGGACUGGUGUAACAAAACUUUUUGAGAAUCAAAAACAUAACCCAGAUCGGCUUGACAUAGACUUGAUUAGUGUUUUGUCAAAAAAAAACAGAGAUCUGUGCCCACCACCAUGUCAUCAUGUCAUCAUUCACUCUAUAGCCGUAAGGGCGCGUACAAUGAUGGCAUAUGGAUACAGAUGCCUCAUGACAAAAAGUAAUUUGAGGCAUAUGUGUUGGUUUUUUCUCUUCAAUGCAAGCUACUACUAGUGGGCCUUAUCAAAGAAUAGAAAGUGACUCUCACUACACAUGCAUCCCUCCUUUCCACUUCAACUUUUCUAACUUUAUGCACCGGACCACACUUUUUCUCUCUAAGCACCCGCCUCCUGAAGAGGAUCAUGCUUCCCUAUCCGAACCUACUUUUUCUGUUAUCCGAUCCUACAUGGCAUGUGAGGGCGGCAUCACCCUGAGGCUAUGCAUUGGCCAUACCCUACCCCCCCCCCCCAAAAGCACACCAUACCCGAGCACGACAACUGGGUGCGCCCAAAAACACCACUGCAUGAGCAUAUCUAAUAUUUCGGUCGCUGGAAAAACGGUCCAAAAACACGCUGGACUCAGCGGCACAAAGGGGCAAUGCAAAAGACACAUGACAAGCUAAAUGUAAAGCACCACUAGAUCAACCACUAGCAGAUCCAACGGCCAUGAAGUGCCAACAAGCAAGUCCAACAGCCAUAACGGCAAAUGCUACCAGUAAGUUUAUCUGCUGCAAGAAAAGUUACAGCUUACACUAUGUUCACAGGAAACAAGUCCAUUUGGUAAUAGAAAAUCUCUUGGCGGUUCAUCACCAUUUCUAUACAAUAUUAAUCAGAUGAAAAACCAGAAUACCAGGAGAGAGAGAGAAAAGCAGAAAUACACCCUGCUGGUUGACCUUAAAGAAUGCAUGAACUAAUAAUACAUAGCUAUGAGUACUUUUGCUGCAGUAGCCUUUGACAUGGGUAGCCUCUCCACACCUCCACUCACAUAUAUUGAUACAUACAUAUUUACAAAUGGACGAGGCAAACCAUCCUAGCCGAUGCUAAGCAGCAAUCAGCAAUUUUAUGAUAUGUUCUUAAGGGGCUAAAUCUGUCAGGUGCCAACAGAGGACACGUGUCGCCGGUGGCGCAAGCGGCUAAAUUUUGUGAUACAUUCUUCAGGGGGCUAACUCUGUUAACACAUACUGGAAAGGGGCUAAUUAUGCAAUAACAAAAAAAAAAUCCAAAUCAACCAUCCUAGCCGAUGCAAAGCAGCAAUCAGCAAGAUACUCCUUUUGCAAGGGGACUAUAGCAAGUUACACAUGCUAUUUGGCUGAAAACAACCUUUGAAGCAAAACUUACAAUCACUCAUAGAACCAGGUGUGAAGACACUUGGCAAGUUGUGGCAUCAGACCUCAGUAAGGCCGAAAAAACAUAAGAGCAAUGCCUUCAGUGAAUAGAUGUACUCUAUUAGAGUUAUGCUGGAACCACUAGCAGAGUAAACAGAGUCCAUGGCAAAUCUUCAAAUAAGAUGAGCUAAACAUUCAGCUACAAUUAUUCUUCUAAGAACAAGCAGCCCAGAAAAUUAAGGUGAUUCAAGUGCUUGUGCUCCAACUACGCCCUCAUCCCACCGUCCUUAAACCCACCUGAAAAGUUAUGAACAGAGUGAGAUAAACAGCUGGGCAAGUGGCAAAAGGUAAGUAUCGCCCAGAAAGCCCCGUGAUCUUUGCAACCGUAGUGACAACACACUUAACAAGCCAAGCUUCUGUAUUUAUUUCAUAAGCAUCGACAACAAUCUUGCUGAUUUAUGGCCAUACAUCUCAACUGCAUUCUCAUUCUAACCAAGAUAAGAUGUCAUAGCAGGGAUGCUUAACAGGCUUGGCUCGGAUUCUGGCCAGCGUUUGUCUACAGUCUGACAUAUCACACACAGUUUACAAAGAGAACUCAAUUGCACAGGAAGGAGAAUUCCCCUUAGCCCAACCCCAAAAACAAAAGUAAAAUAUGGGAUAUUGAUCACAAAUAUUGAACGUCACAGUCACCUGCCUUAACCAUGUGACAAAGAUUUGCUGGCAGAGAUGUAACCUGACGUGCGGCACUAGAACCUGAGAGUUGUAAUUAUAAGGUACAGCUCCUUAAAACACUUAUCAAACUAAAAACUAAAAGACACGCUCCUACGAUUUGACACGUCACCUCUCUUACAAUAUAAGUUCACUUCACAAUUUAGUAUCAGUUAUCUGUACAAACAAAUGUACAAGUUUACUGUUAUCACGAAAAUUUAAUUCAAUCAUGUCCAGAGAUUGAAAUUGUGCUACAAGAUAAAUGGGCUACAGUGAAGAACAACAAAGUAAUGCACAGGGUUGAAUUCAGAUUGCCAUAACUUGCAAUCUAGAAUCUACCCAACCAAUCUUCUCACACGCGACAUGUAGAUUAGAUUUUCUCCGUCUGUAAUAUAUAUGUGUUUUUGGCGGCGGCGGCGGCGGCGACUUGAUGUUAGAGGCGAGUGCAUGCGUGGAGUAUGAUGGUCUCUCGUCUCCAUUUCUGUUCUAAUUAGGCUUUCGCGUGUGGCUAAAGUUGGAGAGCUAGUGAUGUUUUGGAUUCUCUCUUUUCUACUCCUUCCGUCCCAUAAUAUAAGAGCGUUUCUGACACGAGUCUAGUGUCAAAAACACUCUUAUAUUAUGGAACGGAGGGAGUAUCUCAUAAAUGUCAGUCUUUGAAAUUGGGUCGUGAGGCAACCAAAAAUGGGGUGUUUUCUUUUCUUCUUACCGUCUCCUCCACCUAGUCCACCGUGUCUCCUUCUUGCCCAAGGUAUCUGCUAUACAAACGUUUUGUAUCCACCUCCCGUCAAAUCACUGGCGGUAACUUCCAUCCUAUCGUGAUAACAUUAUUCUCUUUCAAGAACCCGCCUUCCUUGAAUUUCUUACCAAGUUAAUUGACAAUGUCAAAAUUAAUUGCAUGACCCGGUAUAACUUUAGUGUGCAAGCACACCACCUUCAGCUCCUCAUUUGCACACUUCGGACCCAUUUGGACCACAGAAAUUUCACAAUUUGUUUUCUGCAUUUCACAAGAAACCAUCGAUUUUUGUACACAAAGGAUUACACUGUUACAAUCACUCAUGCACUGCUCGCUGGUUAGCCUCGUUUUACUGGUAUAUCCAGAUGGUCUGAAAUUGUAAACCGUAUCAGGUUUACUAUUGUGGAAAACUCUCACAUCCUGUUUAAGCAACUCAGCCUAGAAUUUGCAAGUAAAACACUUCAUUUCAUCUCAUCUCUUGCUGCUGUAGUAGCCUUCUACAUGGGUAGCCUCUCCACAUCUCCACUAACAUAUAUUGGUACAUACAUAUUUACGGAUGGACAAGGCAAACCAUCCUAGCUGAUGCAAAGCAGCAAUCCGCAAUUUUAUGAUAUGUUCUUAAGGGGCUAAAUCUGUAGGUGCCCACAGAGGACACGUGUUGCCGUCGGCGCAAGAGGCUCAAUUUUGCGAUACAUUCUUAAGUGGGCUAAGGCUGUUAACACAGACUCAAAAGGGGCUAACUAUGCCAAAAAGAAAACUAAAGCAACCAUUCUGGCCGAUGCAAAGCAGCAAUCACCAAGAUACUCCUAUUGCAAGGGAACAGUAGCAAGAUACACAUCACUAUUUGGCUGAAAACAAUCUUUGAAGCAAAACUUACAGUCACUCAUAGAACCAGGUGUAAAGACAGUUGGCAAGUUGUGGCAUCAGACCUCUGUAUAAAGCCAAAAAAAACAUAAGAGUGAUGCCUUCAGUGAAUAGAUGUACUCUAGAGUUAUGCUGGAACCACUAGCAGAGUAAACACAGUCCAUGCAAAAUCUUCAUGUAAGAUGAGCUAAACAUUCUGCUAUAAUUAUUCUUCUAAGAAAAUGCAGUCCAGAAAAUUAAGGUGGCGACCCGACAUAUAACAUUCUGUUUUCAGCAAUCUCUGUAAAAAAAAUGAAGCCUCUCUUGACUUGUUACAGCUGGCCAAUUUCUGCCAUGUGCUAGCUGCUACGAAACCAAUUUUCUAGGAGUACAUAACUGCAUGAACAACUACAACAUACAUCAUAUGAGUUUCAGAGUUUAUCAGGACUGAACGUUGAAGAAGAAGAAAAAGAGACAAUGUAAGGGUUUUUUUGGUGGGUGACACGCAUCACUGCACUGACUCGCAUAACUACACUGACUCAUAGUCAUCUCUAUUUGACAUAAAAAGUAGCAAACCAAGGCUUGUGUCGUUCUCGGUUCUCCCUUGUGAACUUGUGGCAUCGUAGCGUGGUCGCUUCUUUUUCCCACGAGAUGAAGAUGAAUAUGAUGGCCAUGGCUCUGCCAUCUCACUUUGCUGAUUUUCCACGAAUUUAAGUAGAUGGCAUGAGACAAAUAGGACAAAUGUUUGCUGAUUGUCUAUUUUGCACUUCAACAAGCAUCAAAAUGACAAGACUGGUUGAUUGUGAGCUGAAAAUUCAUAAACAUACACAGUCAUAGGAAUUCCAAUAAGUCUUCAAAAAUCUGAAAUAUGGAAAUGGUUUAGGAAACUGAGAAUAACUAAGAGAGAACUGAGAUAGAUAUGAUACCACACUCAAUCAUUUCAACUGAACUAGAAUGACUUGAAAGUUUACCAUAAAAUGUAAUCGGAAAAAUAAACAACAUAAGGGGUGGACAAAGUUCACUGAAAUUCCAUAGUAUAAGCUUCCUGCUGUUUAGGGGUUUUUGGCCAGUCAGGCCCCUUUAUGAAGUGGGGAAACUAUCACUUGCUAAUCCACUUGAAAUUUGUAAUACUCAUCUCUACUAUUUAGUAUACUUGCUAGUCCAGUGGAACUUCACAAGUCCGAGAAAUUGCCAGAUCAAAAUAGUCUCUGAACCUGCAAACAGACCACUUAAUCUACUUCUCAACGCACUGGAAUUUUUUGCAAGGUUUGUCUGUACUAAUUCUCCACUGCUACCCUACCAUGAAGAAGUAGCGAGUUCUCCACCAAUCCAGCUAGCAAUCAGAUCAAACACUAGGCAAAGAAAUUCCUCUCUGCAGCUAUAUAUCCAUACAGGUACCAUUUACUCCUGGAUCAAGCACUAACUGACGGACAGAGAAUGGAUGACUAACCUUCUAGUUGCAACCGCAGGACCUCUGACCUGACCUGCCGGUGGCUCACCGCGAUGGAUAGCGGACUAGCCUGCCAUCUAGGGUAAUUGCAGACGGCCAGAGUUGCAACGGAGGCCCCAUCGCGACACACGGUGACCUCCGUAGCUGGGAUCAGAUGUAUUUUUAAAAUUGAAUUAAAUAUGUACUGUCACCAUUCCAGAUUUUUGGUACAUAUGAACAAAAAUAAAUUUAUUCACGGGCCAUUCAACACUUUCAGCUCAUUGGAUAUUGGCUCAGAUCGAGUGCACAUAUCAUUAGCAUAUUUUGAACCAAAUCCAUAAUCAUAAAUUCCUCUGGUUUUAUUCAAACAAGCGGUGGAGAUGCCCCGUCCUCCUAGCAUUGUUUUUCUUUCUCAUGUAGGAUCUCUUCAUUCAGCCUUUAAUAUUAACUAGAAGAACGCCCGUGCGUUGCAACGGGCCACAUUAACUUUAAAAGUUCAAUAUCAAUUAUGUUAAUAUUACAUUUAAUAUUCUCAUACAUAUUAAGUGACAUUGACGACUUUUUUUACCAUCAAAUUCUCACACACACCCUCUCCCUCCCUCUUCCUCACUCUCUCUCCCCCUCUCCCUCACUCGGGAGGUGGGACGAAAAUAAAUCCGGAACGAAGAUUACCAACUGAGACAUUAGGAGUAGAGAUCAUUUAGUUGAUAAGAAUAAAUAGAAAACGGUGUUAAAAAAGGAGAAACUGAUUAGAAUACAUUGAAAAACCAAAAGAACGAUGUAAAAGGGGAUUCGCCCUGCCUCCCAGGCCUUGCGACCGAACCGGCUCAGCAGUCCAGUCCCCGCGCGGUCGUCUUCUCCUGUUCCCCGAGCCGCGUCGCUACAGAGACGGGCUCCCGCCCGACCACCUCGCUGGCAACGAAGGGGAAUGGAUAAGGGUGACACCCUUCCUUCCCUGCCCCCAUGGCCUCACCCCUCCUCGACGCCCCCUCCCAAAUCCACUUCUCCUCCUCGCUCGCUCGAUCCCGUCGAUCUGGACGAAGUCAGACGCCACGGCCACCAUGACCGACCCCGUCCACAUGGCCACUGCCCUCCCUGCGGGCUAGGAGCUUGUCGAGGAGCUCCGAACGCCUUCGCUACUUCGUCUGCGCCAACAAGAUCAAGUCCAGCACCCCCGCAUCGACGUCGCUGUUGUCUUCCUCAACCUUGGGCCGCCGCGACAUUGCCGUUCGAUCCGCGCCGCCCCGAGCUCCCAUGUCUUCCCCUAGGGCGCCAUUGACACCUCCAUGAUCUCCUCUUGCCUUUCCCAUGUUUCCUCUCUCGUUUGCUCUCGUUAGGUAUUUCGCCGUGGCCGAGAACCGCCGUCCGCCAUGGCCAUUGCAGGGGUAGCCACCGAGCUCCUCGGAUUGACCCCGUGGCACAUGCUCGCUCCUAUGCACGCCCAUGCCCGAGCCUGCCGCUCUUCUUCCGCGCCCGCGUGGCCACUCUCUCUCCAUGCCCACGCCCAUGCUACACCGCGUCGGUCGCGCCCGCCGCUGCCGUCGCGCUCGCCGCAGCCACCGCACCACUGUUCCCCGCGCGACACACACCCUGGCCGUGCACCACACUCUCGCUGGUUGCGCUCGCCCCGUCUGCUGCCGCCUAUCCCUUCGCUCGCCCCGCUGUCACGCCCCUGCCUCGCGCCGCCUCCAGUCGUGGCCAUCUUCUGCCGGCCGCCUCCUCAGCCACGCCGGCCGCAUCUCUGCCCUCCACCGUCGGCCGCUCGCCUCGCCUGCUGCGUGUUGCUUCCUGCUGCUAUGCGCUGCUCUACCGCUGGUACGCUGCUGCGCCAUGCCCUCGACACCGCUGUGGACAAAUGUGGCGGAGGGAUUGUUAAUGGAGUACGAGAAGGAGGUGGCGGAGAAGGUGUGGAGAGGCAGGAGGUCUGGGGCGGUGUCACCUGGCUGUGGUGGAGAUGUUUAUGCGAGAAGGAGCCGGAGUGGAAGGAGAGGUCACAAUUGGAAAGAAUCGCAAAAAAAAUCAUAACCCGGAGAUCUCGGUUCAAAAAAUGCUAAUAUCGAUAGAGGGGUGAUUUCCUUCAAUAGGUGGAAAACAUAGAAAAUAUUGGUUGUUAUCAAGGAAAGGUAAAAAUUUAGGAAAGUUAGGAUUUUUGAACUGAUUUCUAUGCAAAUGGGGUUUUAUUGUUUGGUAACGUGAUAUCAGUACCUGCCCGUUUGUGACGUGUCUGAUUAGGAAAGUUUGCAAAUGUUAAGAAACUAUUUAUUGGGAGGAAAGUUGUGACGUGUCUAUUAUUUGUUUCCUAAAACAAAUUUCACUAAUAAGAGAAAUCAAUUGAUUUAGAUAAGUUAGGAAAGUUGGAUUAAAAUGUAUUAUUUGUUUCCUGAAAAUCUGUUAUUUGUUUCCUAAGACAAAUUGAACCAAUAAAAGGAAUCGAUUGAUUUGCCUCAUUUAAGGAAUUUAGAUUAAAAUGUAUUAUUUGUUUCCUGAAAUUCUCUUAUUUGUUUCCUAAGACAAAUUAAACCAAUAAGAGGAAUCAAUUGAUUUGCAUAAUUUAAGAAAGUUAGAUUAAAAUGUAUUAUUUGUUUCAUGGAAAUCUGUUAUUUGUUUCCUAAGACAUAUUGAACCAAUAAAAAGAAUCGAUUGAUUUGCAUAAUUUAAGGAAGUUAGAUUAAAUGUAUUAAUUGUUUCCUGAAAAUCUGUUAUUUGUUUCCUAAGACAAAUUGAACCAAUGAAAGGAAUCGAUUGAUUUGCAUAAUUUAAGGAAGUUAGAUCCGUGUUUUGUUAUACGUUAGGAAAGUUCUUUUUUUUUAGGGGAAGUCAUGCCACUUUAUUUAAACGUAGCUAGGAAUCUCGUCUGAAAUUACAUCUAAAAAAAAGUCUGGUGGCGAGCCCACCCAAAUCUCCGAACGGUUCUCCCCUACCCCUACUUUUGCUAGUUUAUGAGCGGCUACAUUCCCAGACCGACGAAUCCAUGUCACCUUGGACUCCUCCAUAGACCGAAGCAUCGCUUUAAUCUCCUCCACCCAUGGGCCUGCAGCAGACAAAUCCUUCUGCGAGUCGUUAAGCUUCUUGACCAAAGACAAGCAAUCAAGCUCCAUAUGCACCCGUGUGAAGUUUAGAUCGAUCGCCAUUCGAACGCCUUGUCUGCACGCUAACACCUCGACCAUCUCAGGACCAACUGUAUUUGGGAAGAAGUGGCACAAUCCAGCGCAAAAUGCCGCUUGGUGAUCGCGAAGAACCGCUCCACCUCCUCCUUUCUCCCCGUGCCUGGAGACCGCGUCGUCGGAGUUGAUCUUUACCCAUCCAGCUUCAGGAGGUACCCAUCGCUGAAUAGUCUUUGGCUCCGAUUGUGACGCCCUCAUCUCGUGAGAUGCUCUCCAUUCUGCAACAUGCAUCUGCACUGUAGCUGUUAUUUCAUGUGCUGAUACAAUAUUCCGCCCGUCCCUUGCCUCAUUUCGUGCCAGCCAGAGGCUAUAGGCCGCCUGAAGCAUAACCUCCUUCUCGUCGUCCUUCGCCCGGGCAAACCAGUCAAGGAGCCAGGAAGCUAGAGCUCGCUGAGUCUGAAUGUGUCUCGGUGGUUCUUCCAACACCAAGCCGACCUGUUCCCUUAGUAACUCCCAGAACAUGACUGAAUGCUGGCAGCCCCAAAAUCUAUGCAAUAUAGUUUCUUCACGGGCACACACAACACAAAAAAUGCCCGGCUUGAUCCGACGUCGGUGAAGUUCUGCCCCUACAGCAAGCCCGUUGCGGAUCAUGCGCCACAUAUGAAUUUUGACCUUGCCCGGAGCACUUGUAUCCCACAGCUCCAAAUAUCCUUUGUGCAUAGCUACCGAACUCGAGGACUCCGGCUGUCCGGACCUCGUUAUGUUCAAGGCCAUUCGUAGGUGGUAUGCCGAUCUAACGGUAAAUACACCAUUACACGUAAAAUUCCAUGCACGAUAAUCAUCAGCCCCCGGGCCGCCAAUCACAAUUUGCUUCACGUCCGUAGCAUCUGCCACUGUAAACAUCUGAUCCACCAACUCCUCAUUCCACGACACACCAUCAGGGUUGAUUAAGUGAGCCACCUUGGUCACACCCUGUAUGUAUACUUGGCCUAGGGGUUUGGUGCUCCAUUCCGAGGUAUCCACGAGUCAUGGUGAAUGUUAAUGUUGAGCCCCGCCCCAACUCUCCAUAUGAGGCCCUCCCUUAGCAAGUCCCGGCCGUGCAAGAUACUCCUGAAAGUGAACGAGCCCGAGGCUGGGCAGGAAGCAGACAAAAUUGAAUUAUCUUGAAAAUACCUUGCUUUGAGCACUCUAGCACAUAGAGAGGUUGGAACUUCAAGAAUACGCCAUGCUUGUUUCGCCAACAAAGCUUGGUUGAAUGCCUCGGGGUCACGAAACCCCAUACCCCCAUGCCUCUUGCUCGCACACAUCUUCUCCCAAGCGAUCCAAUGGACCUUUCUCUCACCAUUCAUUGCACCCCACCAGAAUUUGGACCAGAUUGAAGUCAGGUUCCGGCACAUCUUCUUCGAGAGGUGAAAACAACUCAUGGUAUAGGUCGGUGUCGCUUGCAGGACAGAUUUGACGAGAGCUUCUCUAGCUGCUUUGGACAAUCCUUGCCCCUUCCAACCACACACUUUACCCUUAGCACACUCCGUAACAUAUUUAAAAGUGCCAUCCUUGGACCUACCAACCAGUGUUGGGAGGCCCAAGUAUCGUUCACUAAGAGCCUUAGAUUGAAUCCCCACAAUCUGCUUAAUCUGAUCCUUCAUCACAUCAUGGCUUCCUUUUCCAAAAAAGAUGGAGGAUUUCUGCACAUUUACCUUCUGUCCGGAUGAUUUCUCAUACUUUUCAAGGAUCUGUUUUAGUGUUUCCNNNNNNNNNNNNNNNNNNNNNNNNNNNNNNNNNNNNNNNNNNNNNNNNNNNNNNNNNNNNNNNNNNNNNNNNNNNNNNNNNNNNNNNNNNNNNNNNNNNNGAUGUCGAGGAUUCAAGCAACCCCGUAUACAAUUCCCUUUGUCAAUCGGUAUGCUACUUGCCCGAGAUUCGAUCGUCGGUAUCCCAAUACCUUGUUCAAUCUCGUUACCGGCAAGUCACUUUACUCGUAUCGUAAUGCAUGAUCCCAUGACCAGACACUUGGUCACUUUGAGCUCAUAAUGAUGAUGCAUUACCGAGUGGGCCCAGUGAUACCUCUCCGUCAUACGGAGUGACAAAUCCCAGUCUUGAUCCAUGUCAACCCAACAGACACUUUCGGAGAUACCCGUAGUAUACCUUUAUAGUCACCCAGUUACGUUGUGACGUUUGGUACACCCAAAGCACUCCUAUGGUAUCCGGGAGUUACACGAUCUCAUGGUCUAAGGAAAGGAUACUUGACAUUGGAAAAACUCUAGCAAACGAACUAUGCGAUCUUAUGCUAUGUUUAGGACUGGGUCUUUUCCAUCACAUCAUUCUCCUAAUGAUGUGAUCUCGUUAUCAAUGACAUCCAAUGUCCAUAGUCAGGAAACCAUGACUAUCUGUUGAUCAACGAGCUAGUCAACUAGAGGCUUACUAGGGACAUGUUGGUGUCUGUUAUUCACACAUGUAUUACGAUUUCCGGAUAACACAAUUAUAGCAUGAAUAAAGACAAUUAUCAUGAACAAGGAAAUAUAAUAAUAAUGCUUUUAUUAUUGCCUCUAGGGCAUAUUUCCAACAAUAUGAGCAUCUAGGUUCUGCUAUUUGUUAUUGACCGGAGACGAGUCUCGGUCAUGUCUACAAAGUUCUCGAACCCGUAGGGUCCGCACGCAUAAAGUUCGGUGACGAUCGGUAAUAUGAGUUUAUGUGUUUUGAUGUACCGAAGGUAGUUUGGAGUCCUGUAUAUGAUCACGGACAUGACGAGGAGUCUCGAAAUGGUCGAGACAUAAAGAUUGAUAUAUUAGAAGCCUAUAUUUGGACAUCGGAAUAGUUCCGGAUGAAAUCGAGAUUUUACCAGAGUGCCGGAGGGGUUACUGGAACCCCUGCCCUAGUGGAGAGAGAGAGGGGCCGGCCAGAGCAGGCCGCGCGCCCCCUCCCCUUGAGUCCGAAUAGGACAAGGAAGGGGGGCGGCGCCCCCCUGCCUUUCCUCUCUCCCACUCCUUCCUUCCCCCUCCUAGUGGGACUAGGAAAGGGGAGUCCUACUCCCACUAGGAGGAGGACUCCUCCUCCUGGCACGCCCUGCUAGGGCCGGCCGGCCUCCCCCCUUGCUCCUUUAUAUACGGGGGCAGGGGGCACCCCAAGACACAAGUUGAUCAGUUGAUCUUUUAGCCGUGUGCGGUGCCCCCCUCCACCAUAAUCCACCUCGGUCAUAUCGUAGCGGUGCUUAGGCGAAGCCCUGCGUCGGUAGCAUCAUCAUCACCAUCAUCACGCCAUCGUGCUGACGGAACUAUCCCUCGAAGCUCUGCUGGAUCGGAGUUCGUGGGACGUCACCGAGCUAAACGUGUGCUGAACUCGGAGGUGCCGUGCGUCCGGUACUUGGAUCGGUCGGAUCGUGAAGACGUACGACUACAUCAACCGCGUUCUCAUAAUGCUUCCGCUUACGGUCUACGAGGGUACGUGGACGACACUCUCUCCUCUCGUUGCUAUGCAUCACCAUGAUCUUGCGUGUGCGUAGAAUUUUUUUUGAAAUUACUGUGUUCCCCAACAGUUAUUGUGAGAUAAUGAAAAACGGAAUAAAGGGACACAUGGAAUUCUUUUUAUCAUACUAACGAGUUUCAAAACAUAGAACGGAAGCAACAAAAAUGAAGGCAGAGCGCUAAAAUUUCAGUAACGUUUUAGAAGAUAUAAAAUGCAGUGCCCUUUUAUUGAUCACUGCCUAUAGCCAUAUAAAUGAGGUCUGGGACUCGGUUCGCUCCAAUAUGCCUAUAGAAAGCACAUUUCCUCUGAUGCACAUAUAAAAUUUGACAGUCCAAAACAGAAAAACGCUGAGAUAUACGGAUGAUAUAAUGCUGUAACUAACUUGGAUAUCCUUCCAGUGACCACAGAAUGGACAAAUUUUCUUCUCAGACGUCGAAAAGGGAUGGAACCUCCACACCCACUGCUUCUCCUCCACCUGCAUAGCGUGCGUAGGCAGAAAUUUGAUGAUUAUUUGAAGUGACAUCCACAUAGAGAAGGAUUUAUUCUGCUAGCAAAGCACAAAUGUAGAUCACUGUCAGGCUACAAGACUGAACUGCUCGAUGACCUUCUUGAUUCAUGCAGCUGAUAUGCAAAUGGGUGUGCCCCUUAAAUUCAUGUGAAUCGAAUCGCAGAAGAGACUGACAAACAGGGUUGAUACCUUAUUGCUUGUGUUGACGGGAAGACCGGAGUGGCUGCCGUCGACGUACGGCCCGCACCCGAUGAAGAUCUCGGAGACCUUCUUGCACAUAGAAUGGUAAUUAAUUAAAGAAGUAAGAGGGCCCAUUGUAACUCAUCCCUUUUUAAUAAUGAUAUAUAAAAUAUCCUUCUGUCACCGAUUUGCACCUACGUACAUCAAUUAUUUCUAAUGAUGGUAGAGGAAUCACAUACUGGAGAGGAUAAUAUGGGAGAAAGGGAUCAGAAGAACAGAGGAAGAGGGAGAGAUGAAGAACAGAGUGGUAAGUAAGAGUUCAGGUAAAUUCUCAUUUAAUCGAUACGUUACAGGGAUGGCACUUGACCCUUUUAAACACACAUGCAGUCUCUUACAAGUCGGACCCUUGAGUCCAUAUACCCAGUGCACUAGAUAAUCUUCUUACACCUCACUCAUCCAUCGUCUCUAUAUGGCUGACGGGCCUUCAUCGGCCAUAUCCCAGUCCUCCUCGUCCAGCAUGCUCCGUCGGAUUGGGAUCUGAUUGACCAGUGUGCCCAUGGUUGAGGGCACAGGCGUGACACGAACAUUGCUCCAGGGUCUCCUCAAAGAUGUCAUUUUCCACAUUGGCAUGCCUAAAAGACACAGUUAGAUUUUUGGCAACCUGUUGCUUCAAAUACGUAUUCUGGAAUCAUGUGCCUGGAGGUGUACUCGUUGUAUGGUGGUGUUCUUCCAAGAGCUACAAAGGUAGCUGUGGCUCCUAGUUCGUGUUCCAUCGGCAUACCCUCUAGAGUGGUAGUCCUACUUCAAGUGGACUGAGCAAGGUACCACAAUGCAACUGGUUUUCAGCUCUUUUCCCUUCAUCUCCUUAACUCUCACAUCUUUGUUUUCCUCCAAUAUUUUACAUGUAAAUAAGCUAAAGACGCAAGGGAAAAUAAGGUUUCAUAUCACACUCACGUUCACAUCCUAAGGCAGGGGUAUAUGUAUAUAAGACUUGUACACAUCUCUAAUCUUUGUUAGCCCUUCUUAUGAAACAAAUAUAUUGUGAGCAUGGGAUAUGUGUUGAGAAUGCCAUUCACGAAUCGUUUAUCAUGUGAGUAGACUGCAGAAUGAUAUUACCACUCUACUUGCAUGUUUAGUUUCCAAUCUCUUUACCGGGAAAUACCGAGGGAACUCACAAUUAAAGAAUGUACAGCAGUUUCUGAAUGAGUCUGUGGUUGAACGUCAAAUGCAUUUCCAAACAGGCUAAUCCUGAAUGACCCAAGUAACCAACCUUCAAGGACUGGUGUAACAAAACUUUUUGAGAAUCAAAAACAUAACCCAGAUCGGCUUGACAUAGACUUGAUUAGUGUUUUGUCAAAAAAAACAGAGAUCUGUGCCCACCACCAUGUCAUCAUGUCAUCAUUCACUCUAUAGCCGUAAGGGCGCGUACAAUGAUGGCAUAUGGAUACAGAUGCCUCAUGACAAAAAGUAAUUUGAGGCAUAUGUGUUGGUUUUUUCUCUUCAAUGCAAGCUACUACUAGUGGGCCUUAUCAAAGAAUAGAAAGUGACUCUCACUACACAUGCAUCCCUCCUUUCCACUUCAACUUUUCUAACUUUAUGCACCGGACCACACUUUUUCUCUCUAAGCACCCGCCUCCUGAAGAGGAUCAUGCUUCCCUAUCCGAACCUACUUUUUCUGUUAUCCGAUCCUACAUGGCAUGUGAGGGCGGCAUCACCCUGAGGCUAUGCAUUGGCCAUACCCUACCCCCCCCCCCAAAAAAGCACACCAUACCCGAGCACGACAACUGGGUGCGCCCAAAAACACCACUGCAUGAGCAUAUCUAAUAUUUCGGUCGCUGGAAAAACGGUCCAAAAACACGCUGGACUCAGCGGCACAAAGGGGCAAUGCAAAAGACACAUGACAAGCUAAAUGUAAAGCACCACUAGAUCAACCACUAGCAGAUCCAACGGCCAUGAAGUGCCAACAAGCAAGUCCAACAGCCAUAACGGCAAAUGCUACCAGUAAGUUUAUCUGCUGCAAGAAAAGUUACAGCUUACACUAUGUUCACAGGAAACAAGUCCAUUUGGUAAUAGAAAAUCUCUUGGCGGUUCAUCACCAUUUCUAUACAAUAUUAAUCAGAUGAAAAACCAGAAUACCAGGAGAGAGAGAGAAAAGCAGAAAUACACCCUGCUGGUUGACCUUAAAGAAUGCAUGAACUAAUAAUACAUAGCUAUGAGUACUUUUGCUGCAGUAGCCUUUGACAUGGGUAGCCUCUCCACACCUCCACUCACAUAUAUUGAUACAUACAUAUUUACAAAUGGACGAGGCAAACCAUCCUAGCCGAUGCUAAGCAGCAAUCAGCAAUUUUAUGAUAUGUUCUUAAGGGGCUAAAUCUGUCAGGUGCCAACAGAGGACACGUGUCGCCGGUGGCGCAAGCGGCUAAAUUUUGUGAUACAUUCUUCAGGGGGCUAACUCUGUUAACACAUACUGGAAAGGGGCUAAUUAUGCAAUAACAAAAAAAAAUCCAAAUCAACCAUCCUAGCCGAUGCAAAGCAGCAAUCAGCAAGAUACUCCUUUUGCAAGGGGACUAUAGCAAGUUACACAUGCUAUUUGGCUGAAAACAACCUUUGAAGCAAAACUUACAAUCACUCAUAGAACCAGGUGUGAAGACACUUGGCAAGUUGUGGCAUCAGACCUCAGUAAGGCCGAAAAAACAUAAGAGCAAUGCCUUCAGUGAAUAGAUGUACUCUAUUAGAGUUAUGCUGGAACCACUAGCAGAGUAAACAGAGUCCAUGGCAAAUCUUCAAAUAAGAUGAGCUAAACAUUCAGCUACAAUUAUUCUUCUAAGAACAAGCAGUCCAGAAAAUUAAGGUGAUUCAAGUGCUUGUGCUCCAACUACGCCCUCAUCCCACCGUCCUUAAACCCACCUGAAAAGUUAUGAACAGAGUGAGAUAAACAGCUGGGCAAGUGGCAAAAGGUAAGUAUCGCCCAGAAAGCCCCGUGAUCUUUGCAACCGUAGUGACAACACACUUAACAAGCCAAGCUUCUGUAUUUAUUUCAUAAGCAUCGACCACAAUCUUGCUGAUUUAUGGCCAUACAUCUCAACUGCAUUCUCAUUCUAACCAAGAUAAGAUGUCAUAGCAGGGAUGCUUAACAGGCUUGGCUCGGAUUCUGGCCAGCCUUUGUCUACAGUCUGACAUAUCACACACAGUUUACAAAGAGAACUCAAUUGCACAGGAAGGAGAAUUCCCCUUAGCCCAACCCCAAAAACAAAAGUAAAAUAUGGGAUAUUGAUCACAAAUAUUGAACGUCACAGUCACCUGCCUUAACCAUGUGACAAAGAUUUGCUGGCAGAGAUGUAACCUGACGUGCGGCACUAGAACCUGAGAGUUGUAAUUAUAAGGUACAGCUCCUUAAAACACUUAUCAAACUAAAAACUAAAAGACACGCUCCUACGAUUUGACACGUCACCUCUCUUACAAUAUAAGUUCACUUCACAAUUUAGUAUCAGUUAUCUGUACAAACAAAUGUACAAGUUUACUGUUAUCACGAAAAUUUAAUUCAAUCAUGUCCAGAGGUUGAAAUUGUGCUACAAGAUAAAUGGGCUACAGUGAAGAACAACAAAGUAAUGCACAGGGUUGAAUUCAGAUUGCCAUAACUUGCAAUCUACCCAACCAAUCUUCUCGCACGCGACAUGUAGAUUAGAUUUUCUCCGUCUGUAAUAUAUAUGUGUUUUUGGCGGCGGCGACGGCGGUGACUUGAUGUUAGAGGCGAGUGCAUGCGUGGAGUAUGAUGGUCUCUCGUCUCCAUUUCUGUUCUAAUUAGGCUUUUGCGUGUGGCUAAAGUUGGAGAGCUAGUGAUGUUUUGGAUUCUCUCUUUUCUACUCCUUCCGUCCCAUAAUAUAAGAGCGUUUCUGACACGAGUCUAGUGUCAAAAACACUCUUAUAUUAUGGAACGGAGGAAGUAUCUCAUAAAUGUCAGUCUUUGAAAUUGGGUCGUGAGGCAACCAAAAAUGGGGUGUUUUCUUUUCUUCUUACCGUCUCCUCCACCUAGUCCACCGUGUCUCCUUCUUGCCCAAGGUAUCUGCUAUACAAACGUUUUGUAUCCACCUCCCGUCCAAUCACUGGCGGUAACUUCCAUCCUAUCGUGAUAACAUUAUUCUCUUUCAAGAACCCGCCUUCCUUGAAUUUCUUACCAAGUUAAUUGACGAUGUCAAAAUUAAUUGCAUGACCCGGUAUAACUUUAGUGUGCAAGCACACCACCUUCAGCUCCUCAUUUGCACACUUCGGACCCAUUUGGACCACAGAAAUUUCACAAUUUGUUUUCUGCAUUUCACAAGAAACCAUCGAUUUUUGUACACAAAGGAUUACACUGUUACAAUCACUCAUGCACUGCUCGCUGGUUAGCCUCGUUUUACUGGUAUAUCCAGAUGGUCUGAAAUUGUAAACCGUAUCAGGUUUACUAUUGUGGAAAACUCUCUCAUCCUGUUUAAGCAACUCAGCCUAGAAUUUGCAAGUAAAACACUUCAUUUCAUCUCACCUCUUGCUGCUGUAGUAGCCUUCUACAUGGGUAGCCUCUCCACAUCUCCACUAACAUAUAUUGGUACAUACAUAUUUACGGAUGGACAAGGCAAACCAUCCUAGCUGAUGCAAAGCAGCAAUCCGCAAUUUUAUGAUAUGUUCUUAAGGGGCUAAAUCUGUAGGUGCCCACAGAGGACACGUGUUGCCGUCGGCGCAAGAGGCUCAAUUUUGCGAUACAUUCUUAAGUGGGCUAAGGCUGUUAACACAGACUCAAAAGGGGCUAACUAUGCCAAAAAAAAAAACUAAAGCAACCAUUCUGGCCGAUGCAAAGCAGCAAUCACCAAGAUACUCCUAUUGCAAGGGAACAGUAGCAAGAUACACAUCACUAUUUGGCUGAAAACAAUCUUUGAAGCAAAACUUACAGUCACUCAUAGAACCAGGUGUAAAGACAGUUGGCAAGUUGUGGCAUCAGACCUCUGUAUAAAGCCAAAAAAAAACAUAAGAGUGAUGCCUUCAGUGAAUAGAUGUACUCUAGAGUUAUGCUGGAACCACUAGCAGAGUAAACACAGUCCAUGCAAAAUCUUCAUGUAAGAUGAGCUAAACAUUCUGCUAUAAUUAUUCUUCUAAGAAAAUGCAGUCCAGAAAAUUAAGGUGGCGACCCGACAUAUAACAUUCUGUUUUCAGCAAUCUCUGUAAAAAAAAUGAAGCCUCUCUUGACUUGUUACAGCUGGCCAAUUUCUGCCAUGUGCUAGCUGCUACGAAACCAAUUUUCUAGGAGUACAUAACUGCAUGAACAACUACAACAUACAUCAUAUGAGUUUCAGAGUUUAUCAGGACUGAACGUUGAAGAAGAAGAAAACGAGACAAUGUAAGGGUUUUUUUGGUGGGUGACACGCAUCACUACACUGACUCGCAUAACUACACUGACUCAUAGUCAUCUCUAUUUGACAUAGAAAGUAGCAAACCAAGGCUUGUGUCGUUCUCGGUUCUCCCUUGUGAACUUGUGGCAUCGUAGCGUGGUCGCUUCUUUUUCCCACGAGAUGAAGAUGAAUAUGAUGGCCAUGGCUCUGCCAUCUCACUUUGCUGAUUUUCCAUUCGAAUUUAAGUAGAUGGCAUGAGACAAAUAGGACAAAAUGUUUGCUGAUUGUCUAUUUUGCACUUCCACAAGCAUCAAAAUGACAAGACUGGUUGAUUGUGAGCUGAAAAUUCAUAAACAUACACAGUCAUAGGAAUUCCAAUAAGUCUUCAAAAAUCUGAAAUAUGGAAAUGGUUUAGGAAACUGAGAAUAACUAAGAGAGAACUGAGAUAGAUAUGAUACCACACUCAAUCAUUUCAACUGAACUAGAAUGACUUGAAAGUUUACCAUAAAAUGUAAUCGGAAAAAUAAACAACAUAAGGGGUGGACAAAGUUCACUGAAAUUCCAUAGUAUAAGCUUCCUGCUGUUUAGGGGUUUUUGGCCAGUCAGGCCCCUUUAUGAAGUGGGGAAACUAUCACUUGCUAAUCCACUUGAAAUUUGUAAUACUCAUCUCUACUAUUUAGUAUACUUGCUAGUCCAGUGGAACUUCACAAGUCCGAGAAAUUGCCAGAUCAAAAUAGUCUCUGAACCUGCAAACAGACCACUUAAUCUACUUCUCAACGCACUGGAAUUUUUUGCAAGGUUUGUCUGUACUAAUUCUCCACUGCUACCCUACCAUGAAGAAGUAGCGAGUUCUCCACCAAUCCAGCUAGCAAUCAGAUCAAACACUAGGCAAAGAAAUUCCUCUCUGCAGCUAUAUAUCCAUACAGGUACCAUUUACUCCUGGAUCAAGCACUAACUGACGGACAGAGAAUGGAUGACUAACCUUCUAGUUGCAACCGCAGGACCUCUGACCUGACCUGCCGGUGGCUCACCGCGAUGGAUAGCGGACUAGCCUGCCAUCUAGGGUAAUUGCAGACGGCCAGAGUUGCAACGGAGGCCCCAUCGCGACACACGGUGACCUCCGUAGCUGGGAUCAGAUGUAUUUUUAAAAUUGAAUUAAAUAUGUACUGUCACCAUUCCAGAUUUUUGGUACAUAUGAACAAAAAUAAAUUUAUUCACGGGCCAUUCAACACUUUCAGCUCAUUGGAUAUUGGCUCAGAUCGAGUGCACAUAUCAUUAGCAUAUUUUGAACCAAAUCCAUAAUCAUAAAUUCCUCUGGUUUUAUUCAAACAAGCGGUGGAGAUGCCCCGUCCUCCUAGCAUUGUUUUUCUUUCUCAUGUAGGAUCUCUUCAUUCAGCCUUUAAUAUUAACUAGAAGAACGCCCGUGCGUUGCAACGGGGCCACAUUAACUUUAAAAUUUCAAUAUCAAUUAUGUUAAUAUUACAUUUAAUAUUCUCAUACAUAUUAAGUGACAUUGACGACUUUUUUUACCAUCAAAUUCUCACACACACACUCUCUCCCUCCCUCUUCCUCACUCUCUCUCCCCCUCUCCCUCACUCGGGAGGUGGGACGAAAAUAAAUCCGGAACGAAGACUACCAACUGAGACAUUAGGAGUAGAGAUCAUUUAGUUGAUAAGAAUAAAUAGAAAACGGUGUUAAAAAAGGAGAAACUGAUUAGAAUACAUUGAAAAACCAAAAGAACGAUGUAAAAGGGGAUUCGCUCUGCCUCCCAGGCCUUGCGACCGAACCGGCUCAGCAGUCCAGUCCCCGCGCGGUCGUCUUCUCCUGUUCCCCGAGCCGCGUCGCUACAGAGACAGGCUCCCGCCCGACCACCUCGCUGGCAAUGAAGGGGAAUGGAUAAGGGUGACACCCUUCCUUCCCUGCCCCCAUGGCCUCACCCCGCCUCGACGCCCCCUCCCAAAUCCACUUCUCCUCCUCGCUCGCUCGAUCCCGUCGAUCUGGACGAAGUCAGACGCCACGGCCACCAUGACCGACCCCGUCCACAUGGCCACUGCCCUCCCUGCGGGCUAGGAGCUUGUCAAGGAGCUCCGAACGCCUUCGCUACUUCGUCUGCGCCAACAAGAUCAAGUCCAGCACCCCCGCAUCGACGUCGCUGCUGUCUUCCUCAACCUUGGGCCGCCGCGACAUUGCCGUUCGAUCCGCGCCGCCCCGAGCUCCCAUGUCUUCCCCUAGGGCGCCAUUGACACCUCCAUGAUCUCCUCUUGCCUUUCCCCUGUUUCCUCUCUCAUUUGCUCUCGUUAGGUAUUUCGCCGUGGCCGAGAACCGCCGUCCGCCAUGGCCAUUGCAGGGGUAGCCACCGAGCUCCUCGGAUUGACCCCGUGGCACAUGCCCGCUCCUAUGCACGCCCAUGCCCGAGCCUGCCGCUCUUCUUCCGCGCCCGCGUGGCCACUCUCUCUCCAUGCCCACGCCCAUGCUACACCGCGUCGGUCGCGCCCGCCGCUGCCGUCGCGCUCGCCGCAGCCACCGCACCACUGUUCCCCGCGCGACACACACCCUGGCCGUGCACCACACUCUCGCUGGUUGCGCUCGCCCCGUCUGCUGCCGCCUAUCCCUUCGCUCGCCCCGCUGUCACGCCCCUGCCUCGCGCCGCCUCCAGUCGUGGCCAUCUUCUGCCGGCCGCCUCCUCAGCCACGCCGGCCGCAUCUCUGCCCUCCACCGUCGGCCGCUCGCCUCGCCUGCUGCGUGUUACUUCCUGCUGCUAUGCGCUGCUCUACCGCUGGUACGCUGCUGCGCCAUGCCCUCGACACCGCUGUGGACAAAUGUGGCGGAGGGAUUGUUAAUGGAGUACGAGAAGGAGGUGGCGGAGAAGGUGUGGAGAGGCAGGAGGUCUGGGGCGGUGUCACCUGGCUGUGGUGGAGAUGUUUAUGCGAGAAGGAGCCGGAGUGGAAGGAGAGGUCACAAUUGGAAAGAAUCGCAAAAAAAACAUAACCCGGAGAUCUCGGUUCAAAAAAUGCUAAUAUCGAUGGAGGGGUGAUUUCCUUCAAUAGGUGGAAAACAUAGAAAAUAUUGGUUGUUAUCAAGGAAAGGUAAAAAUUUUAGGAAAGUUAGGAUUUUUGAACUGAUUUCUAUGCAAAUGGGGUUUUAUUGUUUGGUAACGUGAUAUCAGUACCUGCCCGUUUGUGACGUGUCUGAUUAGGAAAGUUUGCAAAUGUUAAGAAACUAUUUAUUGGGAGGAAAGUUGUGACGUGUCUAUUAUUUGUUUCCUAAAACAAAUUUCACUAAUAAGAGAAAUCAAUUGAUUUAGAUAAGUUAGGAAAGUUGGAUUAAAAUGUAUUAUUUGUUUCCUGAAAAUCUGUUAUUUGUUUCCUAAGACAAAUUGAACCAAUAAAAGGAAUCGAUUAAUUUGCCUCAUUUAAGGAAUUUAGAUUAAAAUGUAUUAUUUGUUUCCUGAAAUUCUCUUAUUUGUUUCCUAAGACAAAUUAAACCAAUAAGUGGAAUCAAUUGAUUUGCAUAAUUUAAGGAAGUCAGAUUAAAAUGUAUUAUUUAUUUCCUGGAAAUCUGUUAUUUGUUUCCUAAGACAAAUUGAACCAAUAAAAGGAAUCGAUUGAUUUGCAUAAUUUAAGGAAGUUAGAUUAAAUGUAUUAAUUGUUUCCUGAAAAUCUGUUAUUUGUUUCCUAAGACAAAUUGAACCAAUGAAAGGAAUCGAUUGAUUUGCAUAAUUUAAGGAAGUUAGAUCCGUGUUUUGUUAUACGUUAGGAAAGUUCUUUUUUUUGAGGGGAAGUCAUGCCACUUUAUUUAAACGUAGCUAGGAAUCUCGUCUGAAAUUACAUCUAAAAAAAGUUCUGGUGACGAGCCCACCCAAAUCUCCGAACGGUUCUCCCCUACCCCUACUUUUGCUAGUUUAUGAGCGGCUACAUUCCCAGACCGACGAAUCCAUGUCACCUUGGACUCCUCCAUAGACCGAAGCAUCGCUUUAAUCUCCUCCACCCAUGGGCCUGCAGCAGACAAAUCCUUCUGCGAGUCGUUAAGCUUCUUGACCAAAGACAAGCAAUCAAGCUCCAUAUGCACCCGUGUGAAGUUUAGAUCGAUCGCCAUUCGAACGCCUUGUCUGCACGCUAACACCUCGACCAUCUCAGGACCAACUGUAUUUGGGAAGAAGUGGCACAAUCCAGCGCGAAACGCCGCUUGGUGAUCGCGAAGAACCGCUCCACCUCCUCCUUUCUCCCCGUGCCUGGAGACCGCGUCGUCGGAGUUGAUCUUUACCCAUCCAGCUUCAGGAGGUACCCAUCGCUGAAUAGUCUUUGGCUCCGAUUGUGACGCCCUCGUCUCGUGAGAUGCUCUCCAUUCUGCAACAUGCAUCUGCACUGUAGCUGUUAUUUCAUGUGCUGAUACAAUAUUCCGCCCAUCCCUUGCCUCAUUCCGUGCCAGCCAGAGGCUAUAGGCCGCCUGAAGCAUAACCUCCUUCUCGUCGUCCUUCGCCCGGGCAAACCAGUCAAGGAGCCAGGAAGCUAGAGCUCGCUGAGUCUGAAUGUGUCUCGGUGGUUCUUCCAACACCAAGCCGACCUGUUCCCUUAGUAACUCCCAGAACAUGACUGAAUGCUGGCAGCCCCAAAAUCUAUGCAAUAUAGUUUCUUCACGGGCACACACAACACAAAUAACGCCCGGCUUGAUCCGACGUCGGUGAAGUUCUGCCCCUACAGCAAGCCCGUUGCGGAUCAUGCGCCACAUAUGAAUUUUGACCUUGCCCGGCGCACUUGUAUCCCACAGCUCCAAAUAUCCUUUGUGCAUAGCUACCGAACUCGAGGACUCCGGCUGUCCGGACCUCAUUCUGUUCAAGGCCAUUCGUAGGUGGUAUGCCGAUCUAACGGUAAAUACACCAUUACGCGUAAAAUUCCAUGCACGAUAAUCAUCAGCCCCCGGGCCGCCAAUCACAAUUUGCUUCACGUCCGUAGCAUCUGCCACUGUAAACAUCUGAUCCACCAACUCCUCAUUCCACGACACACCAUCAGGGUUGAUUAAGUGAGCCACCUUGGUCACACCCUGUAUGUAUACUUGGCCUAGGGGUUUGGUGCUCCAUUCCGAGGUAUCCACGAGUCGUGGUGAAUGUUAAUGUUGAGCCCCGCCCCAACUCUCCAUAUGAGGCCCUCCCUUAGCAAGUCCCGGCCGUGCAAGAUACUCCUGAAAGUGAACGAGCCCGAGGCUGGGCAGGAAGCAGACAAAAUUGAAUUAUCUUGAAAAUACCUUGCUUUGAGCACUCUAGCACAUAGAGAGGUUGGAACUUGAAGAAUACGCCAUGCUUGUUUCGCCAACAAAGCUUGGUUGAAUGCCUCGGGGUCACGAAACCCCAUACCCCCAUGCCUCUUGCUCGCACACAUCUUCUCCCAAGCGAUCCAAUGGACCUUUCUCUCACCAUUCAUUGCACCCCACCAGAAUUUGGACGAGAUUGAAGUCAGGUUCCAGGCUUCCAGCACAUCUUCUUCGAGAGGUGAAAACAACUCAUGGUAUAGGUCGGUGUCGCUUGCAGGACAGAUUUGACGAGAGCUUCUCUAGCUGCUUUGGACAAUCCUUGCCCCUUCCAACCACACACUUUACCCUUAGCACACUCCGUAACAUAUUUAAAAGUGCCAUCCUUGGACCUACCAACCAGUGUUGGGAGGCCCAAGUAUCGUUCCAUAAGAGCCUCAGAUUGAAUCCCCACAAUCUGCUUAAUCUGAUCCUUCAUCACAUCAUGGCUUCCUUUUCCAAAAAAGAUGGAGGAUUUCUGCACAUUUACCUUCUGUCCGGAUGAUUUCUCAUACUUUUCAAGGAUCUGUUUUAGUGUUUCCAUUUUCUCCUUGGUUCCCUCAAGGAAAACUAUACUAUCAUCUGCAAACAACAAGUGAGUUAUAUGGGGGCCAGUGCUCCCACACUUCACCCCGGAAAGUUGUUUGUCAGUUUGAGCCUUCUUGAGUAGCGCUGAAAAACCCUCCACGCGGAAGAGGAACAAAUAUGGUGACAACGGAUCCCCCUGUCUUAAACCCCGAGAAGGUGUAAAGCUCCUCGAUAGCCCACCAUUUAACUUUACAGAAAAACGCGCCGAGGUGACGCAUCUCAUUAUCAUUGCGACCCACAUCGGAUCAAAACCAAAACGUGUCAUAACCCUUUCCAGGAAUAUCCGCUCCACUCGGUCAUACGCUUUCAUCAUAUCCAACUUAAUCGCACACAAACUCUUCUUUCUUUUCCUUUUUCGGAUAGCGUGUACACACUCAUAUGCCACCAACACAUUAUCAGUGAUCAGACGCCCGGGCACAAAAGCGCUUUGUUCUUCAGAGAUUAAAAGUGGAAGAAUACCGUUCAACCUAUUCGCCAACACCUUGGUGGCAAUCUUGUACAAGACGUUGCAUAAACUGAUGGGGCGGAACUGUGAAAGCAACUCCGGUGAGUUAACUUUCGGAAUCAUGACAAUGAUUGUAUCAUUAAAAUCAGCCGGGGUCAAAGCCCCACUCAAAAAACCCCGAACGGUCGUGCAUACAUCACUCUUCACCAAUGACCAGUGUCUUUGGUAAAAGAGAGCAGGUAACCCGUCUGGCCCCGGCGCUUUCGUCGGCCCCAUUUGAAACAACGCAGCUUCAAUUUUCACAUCGGAGAUAGCAGAUGUUAGCUUGGCGUUCAUAUCGUCCGAGACCAGCUGAUUAAUAUUUUCUAGUAUCUCCUGUGCAUCCACUGAUCCUUCUGAUGUAAACAAAGAUUCAUAAAAACUGGCUGCCAACUCAUGCAUCUCCUCGUCUACCAUACAUCUCGUACCAUCCUCCCUGCGCAAAGCACGAAUGGUGUUUUUCCUCUUGCGAUGCGAUGCCCGAUUCUGAAAAUAUUUUGUGUUUUGGUCACCCGCAUGCAACCAGUCCACACGCGAUCGCUGCCGGUACAACAGCUCCUCCCUAGCAUAGAUUUCGCGCAGCUGUUUUUCAAUCUCUCGGACCUCCAGUGAGGUACCAGAGAUGUCAGCCCUGCUUCGUGCGUCUGCGAGCUGCGUCUUCAACUUCGAUAUCUGCCUCCGGAUGGAUCCGAACACCUCCCGUGCCCAGUGCUGCAUACUCCCAGUCAUCUUGCUCAGUUUUGCCCACACUCCCGCCACCGUGUUUUCAUCUGUACUCGCGUCUGACCAGGCCUUGGCGAUCAUGGUGUCAUAUUGCGCGUGCCUCGUCCAAGCCUCUUCAAACUGAAACGGCCUUGGCCCUCUAUCCCUUGCGCGCGGAGCCGUCUCCAGCGCUCUAACCAGGAUAGCUUGCUGAUCUGACUCCUCUGUCACUAGGUGUUCCACAUAUGUUUCAGGGAAUAGCUCCAAAAAUGUGUCCGUGCACGUAGCUCUGUCCAGUCGUACCUUAAUGUUUUCUGUCCCGUCACGUUUGUUAUCCCAUGUGUAUGGGUAACCACAGAACCCCAGAUCUGCUAGACCGCACUCCGCCAAACAAUCCCUAAAGUCCUCCAUCUGCGCAAAAGGUCGAUGAUUACCUCCUAGCUGGUCAGUUUGGAAUAGAGCUUCAUUGUAGUCUCCAACACAAAUCCAUGGGAGAUCGUCUUGUCAUUUAGGAACCUAAUCGCAUCCCAUGAUUUCUUGCGCAACUCCGUCUUGGGCUCCCCAUAGAAACCAGUGAAUCUAUAGGUCUUCCCCUCCCAUAUCAUUUCCGCAUCUAUGAAGUAUUGGCACCACGUUAGGAAAGUUCUGGUUGUAAUAAAGAGUGGAGAGAAAAAUAAACUGAUGGACCAGGGUGGGAGGGGGUGGUGGGAGGAGAGACAAAAAACCCAGCGAAAAUAAACCGCGGACCAGGGGGGAGGGGGUGGUGGGAGGAGAGACGAAAAAACCAGCGAAAAUAAACCACGGAGACGAUUCACCAACUCAUCCAUUAGGAGUAGAGAUAACAAAAAAAUAAGUAUGGCAUAGAUAAGAUGCUUCAAAAUAGCUGGGCACAAACAAGUUGCCAUGAAAAGAUAUAACUUUUUUUGCGGGGAACAAUCUAGACCUUCUCAAAUUCCAACAAAUAAAAUAUGCUCGAUGUCCAUGAUCUAGGAGGGUAUCUACGAAUAGGUACUUAGGGUUUGUUCAUGAAAAAUAUUAAAAUGUUUGGCAAUUUUCCUUUUGGGUAGACAAAGUACCUCGAAAUAUGUAAAUUCAUUCUUAUACACCUGAACAUGCACCAUAGUAAACCAAAUUAUGUUUCCCUCAAAGUAUAACAAACAUAUUAUAUUUUUGAAUAGGUUAUCUGUGUAUAUGGUCUACACAAUUCAAAUAAGUAUCAACCUCGUGACCAAAAGAUUUAGUAAAAGGUACCUGGUGGUCCCAAUGAAAUAUUUACAUAACAUUACAAACUUAGUUCACCAAAAGAAUGAUCCGAUCCAGAUAAAUCCUUCUUCACACAUAGAUCGAACUGAUGAUGACGUAUCUAGAGUUAGGACCGGAUAUAUGCUAGUAACUUGUACUCCCUCUAUAAAAUAAUAUAAGAGCGUUUAGAUCACUACUUUAGUAUUCUAAAUGCUCUUAUAUUAGUUUACGGAGGGAGUAAGUAACUACCAUCCUUUUACAUGUAAAAGGGAAUUCUAUGAGUCAUGCCAUGCUCUAUACCUGUCAGUUCAUCUUAUCAUCUUAGAGAGCAAUACAAAGUUAGUUUUAUAAAAAAGCAACCGAGUCUAGACAAACCCUCCACAUACAAGGCUUUAAUAAUCGAGCAUAUCUUAACAGCCCACACACGAUUGCAACUUAGUUCUACACAAGUUUUGCCUUUCUUGUUUAUGGUUGACAGCCUAUACAAGGUUCCAAACUCGGUUGCAAAAGUGAUACUAUCCUAAUAAGUGUGUGACAUGUAAAGUGAAUAAGGUGAGUCAUAUAUACCACACAUCAGGAUUUCUAUACUUUGUGUGUGAUCAUAUGCACAACUAAAAAGCAACUUUGAUGAUCAAUUCAAAAGUACGCUUGUAGCUAGUGCAACCUAACACAAUGUACCAAAAAAUCAUUUCUGAUGCAUCCAAACAUAAUUAUUAAAGUUGAUGCAAAGAAGGAAAGAGGUGGUGCCCGGACUACUAUAAAUAGACAUGAAGUAUAAAGAUCAUCACAAGCACAAGCAUCAAAACCAAGCAAAACUAGUUAGCACCAAUCCAUCAUGAAGACCUUCCUCGUCUUUGCCCUCCUCACCGUUGUGGCGACAAGUACCAUUGCGCAGAUGGAGACUAGCUGCAUCCCUGGUUUGGAGAGACCAUGGCAGCAGCAACCAUUACCACCACAACAGACAUUAUUUCCACAACAACAACCAUUUCCACAACAACAACCACCAUUUUCACAACAACAACCAUCAUUUUCGCAACAACAACCACCAUUUUCGCAGCAACAACCAAUUCUACCGCAGCCACCAUUUUCACUGCAACAACAACCAGUUCUACCGCAACAAUCACCUUUUUCGCAGCAACAACUAGUUUUACCUCCACAACAACAAUACCAACAGCUUCUGCAACAACAAAUCCCUAUUGUUCAGCCAUCCGUUUUGCAGCAGCUAAACCCAUGCAAGGUAUUCCUCCAGCAGCAGUGUGCCACAACGUCUUGCUAGGUCGCAAAUGUGGCAGCAGAGCAGUUGCCAUGUGAUGCAGCAACAAUGUUGCCAGCAGUUGCCGCAAAUCCCCGAACAAUCUCGCUAUGAUGCAAUCCGUGCCAUCACCUACUCCAUCAUCUUACAAGAACAACAACAGGGUUUUGUCCAAGCUCAGCAGCAACAACCCCAACAGUUGGGUCAAGGUGUCUCCCAAUCCCAACAACAAUCGCAGCAGCAGCUCGGACAAUGUUCUUUCCAACAACCUCAACAGCAACUGGGUCAACAGCCUCAACAACAACAGAUACUACAGGGUACCUUUUUGCAGCCACACCAGAUAGCUCACCUUGAGGUGAUGACUUCCAUUGCACUCCGUACCCUGCCAACGAUGUGCAGUGUCAAUGUGCCGUUGUACAGCUCCACCACUAGUGUGCCAUUCAGUGUUGGCACCGGAGUUGGUGCCUACUUAUAAGAAAAGUUGUCUAGUAAUAUAUAGUUGGACCACCGUUGUCUAGUCGAUGGACAUGUCGAGGAAGCGGUGACAAAUAAAGUGUCACGCAACGUCAUGUGUGACCCGCACAAAGUAGUAAUUAAAUUCUGAAAUAAAUACAAAUAAAGUGUUCUCUAGACAAUGUUCAUACCGGCGUUGUGUGGACGUCGAUCUGACUACCAUGCUUGCAAGUUCAUAAGUUUGUCUUGCCUGCGGGCAGAAAAUAGGAUUUGGCUUUGUGGCCAGGAC